UCCCUUUCUCUUCUUCCCUCUUUUCCUUUCUCUCUCCCCGAGCUCUCUUUUCCCGCCGGAUUUUCGACCGCCAGACCGCCGCCGUCCGGUCUCCGUUCGCCGCCGGACCGGUCCCGUUCGGUCGGUCUCCCUCCCAGCAACAUUUCUAGACCGGUGACAGCCUCCCUAGCGCCGCCGUGAGUGAGCGGUGCCGCCCGAAAGGUCCGACUGCCGUAGCUCUCCUUCGCCGGAAUUUCCUCCUCCGGCCACCAAUCCGGGCAAGCUUGGUACGGUUUUGUAGCCCUCCUCCCGUGCAACAACCCCUCCAAACAGCUCCCUCCCUCUUGAGCUAGGUAAGGAGAAAUUUGAGGUGGAAGUUUUAUGGUGUUUUUGAUGUUUUUAAUCGAUUGCCCUAGUUAGGCUUGGAAUUGGUGUUUGUGCUAGUUAUGAAAGUUGUAGAGCUUGAUGAGAGGAAGAUGCUGUUAAAAUUUCAUAGGUUUUGGAGGUCGCCGGAAUUGACCUCCGGCCGCCGCUGCCGGCGGAGCCGCCGGCGGCGCCGCCGCCGGUUGGGAGAUUUUAAUGUUGUUAAAUUUGGAAUAUUAAGGGGAGUUUAUUGAAGUGAGUUAUGGAAUUUUUGGAUGAGUUUUGGAUAGGUUUAUGAAUUUCCGAAGUGUGAUAUUUUUGGCGGGUAAUUAAUGUAGAAUCCGGCCGUUGGAUUUAAGUCGUAUUUUGGAGAUGUUGUAUUUACGACUGUGGAGUAUGAUAUUUAAGUUCGGAUCGUCCGAUGUAAGAAUAUCGAAGUUAGGCAAUAAUGAGCGUAAUUAUGGCUCUCGGGUAAUUUUGCCUAUUUUGAUUAAAUAUUGGAUAUUGGUUGGGAAAUUAAUAUUAUAUUUGGAACAGGACGUGAAGAGGCUCGAGCAGACGAGACCCCAGAUUGACAUCAGGCUUAGGCCUAAUUCGUGAGUGGACUUUUAUUUGAAAUAAUAUGCAUGCUAUGGUUCAUGAUUGAACAUUUCCUUUUGUUGGAGUUUUGACGUCAAUUAAUUUUGACGCUUUUAUUUCUCUGAGAGAGUUACCGAAAAUGGGAUUUUCGGUAAAUAUAAAUAUGUAUUUAUGAGAGAGUAUGUAUAGAAAAUGCUAGCUAGCCAUAUGUGUCUGUCCACCUUAAUGGCGUAGCAUAUAGCCGCAUUAUGGUGUGACGUGAGCGUUGGACGUAAGCGUAGUAGCCUUAUAUGAGUGUUUAAUUCAUAUAAGGGGUAUGGGCACAUAUUUAUACACCCGUCUGUCCACCUUGAUGGCGUAGUGUAGCACCGCAUUAAGGCGUGACGUGAGCGUUGGACGCGAGCGUAGUAGCCCUAUAUAGACCCAUGAAUUUAUAUAGGGAGUAUGGACGAGUGUAAAUACAUACAUAUAUUAUAGAGUCUGAGAGGCUCGAUAUUUUAUGGGAUAAAGGUUUUAUCGCUUGCGGCACGCAUUCGAUUUUUCCUUAGAAAUUACUUUGGGGAAACAUAAAUAUUUUAAUUAUUAAUUUAUUUUUGUCCACUCACUCUAACGUUAUUAAAUGUUUUCCCCUGGGCCCUUCGUUUUAAAUUGCCCAGUCUGCAGAGUUCGGGUUGGAUCUAGUAGGAGACGAGGCAUAGUCACCCGCUUUUCGGCCAGUUUUCAUCAGUAGGUUACAUGUUCAACCUACUUGUGUUUUCUUGCUUCCGCUUGUGUUUAGUAGCUCUGAAUACUUUAGAAUUUUUGUAUAUUAUGUGAUGUUCAGAAGUGUAAUAUGAAAUUUUCGAGUUAGGGUUGUCCAUCUACAAGGGAGAUUUUCUUAAUCUUUUCAGUAAAUUUUCCUUGGAGGUGGUCCCCGCACGACUUAUUCUGGGUUUCAGGGUGAAAUUCGGGGUGGGUCGUGUCAGUUGGUAUCAGGCUUAGGCCUGAUUUGUGAGUGGACUUAUAUUUUUACCUUGACAAUCCCGCUUGUCAAGGUGCUGUGGAGAAGUCAUCAAGUAGAAGAAGCUACUUGGGAAUCAGAUGAGCAAAUGAUGCAGCAGUAUCCGUAUCUCUUCGGAGGACAUGUAUAUUAAUUUCGAGGACGAAAUUUUUAUAAGGAGGGGAGAAUUGUCACAUCCCGACCCUUAUAUUUUUACCUUAUUUACUAGCGUGAUUAUAAUAAGAAUUUUACCGUCUCGAUCAUUGAGUAAAUAGUUUAAUUGGUCCCUAGAGGGGUUUCGGGGACGAUUAUGUGCGGAGGAUUAUUCGUAUGAGGAAAAUACGACGACGGUAAAAAUAGUAAAUUUUAGCUAGUAAAAGGUAAUUUUUAUUCGGGUAUUAUUUUUCGGGGUNNNNNNNNNNNNNNNNNNNNNNNNNNNNNNNNNNNNNNNNNNNNNNNNNNNNNNNNNNNNNNNNNNNNNNNNNNNNNNNNNNNNNNNNNNNNNNNNNNNNNNNNNNNNNNNNNNNNNNNNNNNNNNNNNNNNNNNNNNNNNNNNNNNNNNNNNNNNNNNNNNNNNNNNNNNNNNNNNNNNNNNNNNNNNNNNNNNNNNNNNNNNNNNNNNNNNNNNNNNNNNNNNNNNNNNNNNNNNNNNNNNNNNNNNNNNNNNNNNNNNNNNNNNNNNNNNNNNNNNNNNNNNNNNNNNNNNNNNNNNNNNNNNNNNNNNNNNNNNNNNNNNNNNNNNNNNNNNNNNNNNNNNNNNNNNNNNNNNNNNNNNNNNNNNNNNNNNNNNNNNNNNNNNNNNNNNNNNNNNNNNNNNNNNNNNNNNNNNNNNNNNNNNNNNNNNNNNNNNNNNNNNNNNNNNNNNNNNNNNNNNNNNNNNNNNNNNNNNNNNNNNNNNNNNNNNNNNNNNNNNNNNNNNNNNNNNNNNNNNNNNNNNNNNNNNNNNNNNNNNNNNNNNNNNNNNNNNNNNNNNNNNNNNNNNNNNNNNNNNNNNNNNNNNNNNNNNNNNNNNNNNNNNNNNNNNNNNNNNNNNNNNNNNNNNNNNNNNNNNNNNNNNNNNNNNNNNNNNNNNNNNNNNNNNNNNNNNNNNNNNNNNNNNNNNNNNNNNNNNNNNNNNNNNNNNNNNNNNNNNNNNNNNNNNNNNNNNNNNNNNNNNNNNNNNNNNNNNNNNNNNNNNNNNNNNNNNNNNNNNNNNNNNNNNNNNNNNNNNNNNNNNNNNNNNNNNNNNNNNNNNNNNNNNNNNNNNNNNNNNNNNNNNNNNNNNNNNNNNNNNNNNNNNNNNNNNNNNNNNNNNNNNNNNNNNNNNNNNNNNNNNNNNNNNNNNNNNNNNNNNNNNNNNNNNUUUUCCCCUGGGCCCUUCGUUUUAAAUUGCCCAGUCUGCAGAGUUCGGGUUGGAUCUAGUAGGAGACGAGGCAUAGUCACCCGCUUUUCGGCCAGUUUUCAUCAGUAGGUUACUUGUUCAACCUACUCGUGUUUUCUUGCUUCCGCUUGUGUUUAGUAGCUCUGAAUACUUUAGAAUUUUGUAUAUUAUGUGAUAUUCAGAAGCGUUAAAUUAAGAGUGUAAUAUGAAAUUUUCGACUUAGGGUUGUCCAUCUGCAAGGGAGAUUUGCUUAAUCUUUUCAGUAAAUUUUCCUUGGAGGUGGUCCCCGCACGACUUACUCUGGGUUUCAGGGUGAAAUUCGGGGUGGGUCGUGUCAGCAUGUGUAUGUCAGUAUGCGUAAGAUAAUGCUACAUGGAGAGAUAGAAAACAAGUCUCGAUAAUCCAUACUUGUAUCUCUUCUAUGUAAGGAUUAAUUCUACUUACGUAUAUACAUUAUUGGGGAAGACAUCACAAAUGCGUAUUUGAACUAUUACCUCAACAGUACAAAGUACAAACGAACAAAACCGUCGUUUGUUAUAUGAUUGAUUCGCUUUAGUUCUCUUUGAUGAAAUUCACAAGAUAUAUCAAAAUUGAUAUCUAGAUUCAAAUCUGAUCUCCAACCUGUAAAGAUCGCUAAACCCAACAUUCCUGCCACUCCAAUGCUUAGACCACAUUGCUCAUGAGCUGCUCAUAAAUUGGUAAGAAGACCAUGCCAAAAGAACUGCAAUUGACCAAAAGAAAGAGAUAUAUAUACAAUAUGCAGUGAAUAUGAGUUUGAACACAAUGUGACGCCAUUUUAUUACAAGAAUCAUGCUCUUACGUACAUUACCCACUCACAACAUAGCGUGGGCACAAUUUUUAGAUAUUUGAUCCUAUUUUUAAGCAUCAGUAUUAACUAAACAAUAAAAUAAAUCGCAGCAGUGUGCGGGGCAAAGAUUAGUCAUAAUGAAAUGAACUCAAAAUUAAGAGAAGACAUUGCACAUGAUUAUCCUAAAUCUUGAACAAAUGCAUACAUGUUCAUUGAUCUCACGUAGUCAGUAUAUGUAAUUUCUCACGAUGCGUAAUGCGUAUAAUGAAGUGAAAAAUCGCUUUGAUCUUGUGGCCUUAGUGCUUAGUUUGCAACUGAAUAAUUCUGACUUUGGACUCGAAGAUUAGCUGCUAUACAUUGUACGUGGUAACAAUGAACUAAAGAAUUACAUAGAAGAGCCCCUUCCACAACCCAGCUGAUCAAGAGGGAAAGGAUAUAAAUCAAUUUGUAAUAUUAUCAGUUGUUUACUAACGCUUCUACGCAACAAAGAAAAAAGAAAGAAUAAAGAUAAACAACCACGGACAAUGAUAUAGAGCGCAUAACUUGGUAAUUAAAAAGAAUGAGAAACUAUACUGCUGCGAUGUGAAUGACAUUAUUUUUGUUUAACAUCUUUGAUCAAACAUCCUCCUUAGAUAUAGAAUGAAAAACUAUACUGCUGCAAUUAUAUAUCUCCCGUCAACAUUGUUACCUCCCUGGAUCGAAACUAUACUAUUCACAUAAUAAACAGCUUCUAGGUUUUCUACAGACACGCCUUUUAUAGGAAGAUACUUGAGCCUUCCUGCAGGGAAGUCAUAGAAACUUACCACACAUCUAUCACGGCCUACAAAAAGAAAUUGGUCAUUCUUUCCAACAAAUGCCAAUGGGCAGAUAGAAAUAACUGGUUGACAGUAAGUUAAGUAUUUUGUCCAAGAACCCUCAUUACCACCAGUGCCAUCUAGAACCCAUAUUUCUAAGGACUUUUCAGAAAUACUUCAACCCGAUAUAGCAAUGGUUUCAUUCCAGAAUCCAAAUACCAUAUCAACCAUGCAAGAAUUUUCUGAAAAUGAUAUAACGUGAAAUGUCUCAUCGCCUAAAUGAAACGAAAUCACACAUACCUUGGGGAUUUCAAAAUCCUCUUCUUCAUCUUCAUCAGGUGUAAAACAAACUUUAUAUUCUCUCGGACUUUUCAUUGCACACCAAUAAAUUAUUCCCCUACAGCAUAUGAAAUUCCUUGCUUGACGCUUAGCCCUUGGCAACGCUUCAACAGUAUCCUUGACCAAACUAUCAGUACUGAUCUCUUUCCAACAAUCUGUGACGAGGCUGUACACUUCUGCUUUGGGAGGAUGAGUUCUAGCACGAUCAUCAUCAAGACAAUCAUGUCCGAUUGACAAAAUUCUAACAACUUUAGAAGUCUUGGAUUUGAGAUCAUACCCGAUUCCGAUAGCAGCUGUUGCUUCCAAAUCCCUAUCAUCAUUAACUUUAAUCCAAUUCAGGCAAGAGAGAACAAGAUUUGACACAUGAAGAACCUUGAAUUCCUUGAUAGCUGGAUUUCAUAAAACUACUCUUUCUUUCAUGUCAGUUAAACAAAUGAUCCCAUCACAAUGGCCUUCAAGUUCCACCCUCUCGUGCCCCCAAACAUUAAUCUUCAUUAGACGCGUUGAAGAUGGUACGUAGAGGUCCUCUAUAAAGAAUCAAGGUGAUGCUGCUUGGCAUCAUCAUCAUCGUCUUCAUGGACAAGACUAAACAAUGACAACACUACAUCCUUUUUGCCAGUGUUCAUGUCUCUAAUGACAAAACGCUUGAAAGGUGGUGAAGGAUGAGAGUUUGUUGUGCUUCCAAACAGAGAGGUGCGUGGCUGCAAAAUUGGGGUUGUGGAUCAAGGCAUACCACGAAGUAUGGAUGCACUUGAAUCGCAUAAGAGAUUUUGGAGGAAGCCUUGACAAUAUUUGUACCAUCAUCUCUUCCGCCAAUUUGGACAACACGGCCAUUUGUGCAAGAAGAUUGUCUUAUCGUGAAAAUUAAGGAAUGAAAACACAAUUUUCUUGUGUACACUUCUGGACUUCUGGUAAUUGGCUAUGCAAGUUGGAUUAUUGAACAGAGCGCGCGCGCCACACACACACACACACACAUAUAUAUAUAUAUAUACAAUGCUAUCAGGUGCGGACGUCCGCACCAAAGUUUUUGGUGCGGAUUUCCAUUUUUGCACCACUUGCCGAUCGAAUUUCCUCAAACUUCAUUCUAGAUAUAUCUAGAUCAUCUUGUGUAGAUCAUCUCUGCAAAAUUUCAGCCAAUUUGGUGAUCGUUAAGGCCCUCAAACUCGAGUUUUUCUGGUAUGAACACAACCGGACAGAAUUCAGUCCGUCCAUUUUUNNNNNNNNNNNNNNNNNNNNNNNNNNNNNNNNNNNNNNNNNNNNNNNNNNNNNNNNNNNNNNNNNNNNNNNNNNNNNNNNNNNNNNNNNNNNNNNNNNNNNNNNNNNNNNNNNNNNNNNNNNNNNNNNNNNNNNNNNNNNNNNNNNNNNNNNNNNNNNNNNNNNNNNNNNNNNNNNNNNNNNNNNNNNNNNNNNNNNNNNNNNNNNNNNNNNNNNNNNNNNNNNNNNNNNNNNNNNNNNNNNNNNNNNNNNNNNNNNNNNNNNNNNNNNNNNNNNNNNNNNNNNNNNNNNNNNNNNNNNNNNNNNNNNNNNNNNNNNNNNNNNNNNNNNNNNNNNNNNNNNNNNNNNNNNNNNNNNNNNNNNNNNNNNNNNNNNNNNNNNNNNNNNNNNNNNNNNNNNNNNNNNNNNNNNNNNNNNNNNNNNNNNNNNNNNNNNNUUGUGUGUGUGUGUGUAUAUAUAUAUAUAUAUAUAUAUAUAUAUGACUUGUAUGUGAACAUCCCUUAUCAUUUUUUGGGCACUGAUAUGGCGCCUAGACCAGCUAAGGGAGACGCCUUAACCCGCCUAGACCCGCGUGGGGAUUGUCUAGACCCGCUUAAGGACAGCCUAGACUUGCAAAGGGGUUGCCUACACUACAACAAACAUAGUUAUUUCCAAAGGCAAGAUUUGGUCGGGAAAGCCGUUUUUCGUUGGAAAUAACAUUUUCCGACGAACAGAGGCCGUCGGUAGUCGUCGAAAAAAAUCUGGUUGGAAAAAAUCUUUUUCCGACAAACCCUUGGAAAAUGUCAUUAUUUCCGACAAAGUUUUGUGGUCGCAAAAGGUUUCACUGAUUGGAAAUUAUGCUCCACUGACGACGACAAAAUAUUAUUUUCGACAAAAAAUGUUGUCGGAAAUAACUUUUUGCUCGUCAACAAUAAGUAGUUUUCGAUGGCUAUGUUUUCCUCGGAAAUGAAUAUUUCUUUGUCGGAAAUUGUGAUCUAUUAUUUCCGAGAGUGAAACGGUCGGAAAAGAUUGGUCGGAAUUUUUUCCAAACUAGCUUAUUUAUUUAGCAAAUAUUUGUUUUCCGUCCCAUUCAUUGGAACCUGUAAACUUAAUUGUAAGAAUUGGUUGGAUGAUGAUAAUUAUUUAUUAAACAUAAAAAAAAGAAAAGUAGAAUUUCAGCAUUACAAGAAACAUAGCUAAGAUAUUUCAAAGCUAAUAUAUCCUUAAGUAAGAAAGGCAAAUAAGUUAAACUACUAAAACAUGAUCUUCAUUAACAAGCAAGAAAGACAAUAUUUUAGGUGCAGCUGUAAAACACCUUAUGAAAGUUGGAAUUACCAUCAACACCAUCUUCAUCAGCACCAUCUCCAUCAGUCCCAUCUUUAUCAGCACCAUAUCCAUCAGUAUCAUCAUCUUCAUCAACAUUAUCUCCAUCAGUUUCAUCUGCAUCAAUACCAUCUUUAUAAAAACCAUCUUCAUCAUGGAGUGCACUUGAAUCCGUUGCAAUAAUAUCAUCAUUUUGAAGAAAAAAGAAAUAAUUAAACACAUAAUUUAGAAUAAAAAAUAUGAGCUAAAUCAUGUUAUAAAUAGCAUAAACAACAACAACAUACAAAUAUUCAGUAAGGUAUAGAUCGUACCACAUAAUUUGAAUUUCUUGCACUUUUAGAAUUGUCAGAGCUAUGAGGUAGCAAAUUUUGAACAACUUGAGUAAAUUUGUCCAAUUUAUCUUUCAGAGUUUCUACUUCGCCUUUCACUGUCUCAUAAUUUUCUUUUAAUUCCAAACAUGUAGGCUUAUUACAAGUUUAUUUAUGUGAAUUUAUAUCUUUGAGUUUUGCCCUAACACCUAACUCAAGUGCACGGCCAUGACUAUGCUCACGAAUGACUUUCUCAUAUAUCUCCCAAUCAUCAACUUCACCAAACACCUCUUCCACUCGAUCCAUGUUCUCAGUAAGAUCCUCCUGCAAACAAUAGUUUGCAAAUUUAAUCUAUGUAAAAAUAAUCACAAUUUAAUAUAAAAAUAGAGAAAGUUUGAUUUAAGUAUCAGGUAUGGAAACAUACAUAAAUUUCCUUAGCCUUCUCACUUUUCCAAUGUUCUUCCUUACUGUCUUUUGCUUUACUUACAUGGAACUUUCUCCAACACUAUUCGACUAGGUUCAACUCCAUUCCAAUCAAGCUAUGAGAUCGAAGAAAAUGUGUUUUAGAAAGAUUAAUAUAUAAGUAAUUUAUUUUCAAGUUAAAUAAGUUCUACGUUAAGCAAUAGAUUAUUCAAAUUGAUAACCAGGAUAUAUAUUGAAUCAGUAACUUAUAUGGAAUAACCAACUCUAAAUUUAUAUUGAUUAAACAUGGUGAGAUAAUGGAACGCGCCUCACGAGCUGAAAAUUUGGGGAAAAUAGCUCUGCUAGGGUUUUGUCGAUCGAGAUUUUGGGCGGCCUGGGUGGUGCGAUGGUGGCCUCCAUGGCCUGGUUUUCGAGGCUUUUCAUGCUCAUCUCCUCCUCUCUUACCUUCAACAGCGAUUCGAGUGUGAUUGGGUUCGAAUCUGUGGAUGUUUGUGAGGAUAUUGGCCAGCCAAUCUUGGCAAUUUGGUGGCUUGAGGAUCGGUUGUCGGAUGAGAAAUGGCUACCUCUUACGUUGUUGUGUGCCCGUAUAAAGAUCCUGGGGGUUAAAUCUUUUCAUGAAGGUGAUGAUUGCCCAGUCUUUCUCAAGGACAAAUCUACUUAUGGUCAUGGUCAUGUUCUUCGCCUUCCUGGACUUGUCUUGAAUCAGGUAAAAUUAGACCAGGUAUGUCUCAUCACCCAUUUGUCUUUUGUUAAUCAUAACCUUUCUUUUAUUUAUUCUCUUGAGAUAUUGUUCAGAUCAGACCCACUUUUGAGUUGGGUUCUUUGGCACUACGAUUGUGUUGGAGAUCCUAGGUGUACUCUUUCUUCUUUGAAAGAGUAUUAUCAAAGUCUGUGUGCUAUUGGCAUUUGUCAAUUUGAUAUUUCUAUUAACCCUAUUUCUUUGAUUGAUAACUUUGCUUUCAUUUAUCGCAAGAAAUUGAUCAAAGAGAUGAUUUGUGGUCUGUCUACUGCCAUCAUGACUAAUUUGGAGAAUGGCACUUCCAUAAAUUUUUUAAGUCUUGUUUCAUGAAGAUACUGUCAUGGAAUAGUCAGGGAAGUGCCUGGGAUGGUUUUGUGGCACAAUCCCAUUUCUAUGUUUCUUGCUUAGUUCCUGAUGUUUUUUAUAUUAUGGAUACCAGAGCUGCAGCCAAUACUCUGGAUAAAUUGAAAAAGCUUUAUUUUGAUGAUGCCUUUGUUAUUCCUGCUUUGGGACAAUGUGGAGGUCUUGUGCUUCUUUGGAAAACCUCUUCUGUUAAAAUUGAUGUGAUUCAUUCUCAUGAUAGGUUUAUUCAUUGCCUCAUUACUGACCACAGAGACUCUAAAUCUACCUAUGCAAUGUUUGUGUAUGCUUUUCCUCAGAAACCAAAACAAGCGGCUCUCUGGAAUGAUUUAGCUUGUCUGAAGCCUGCAAACCAUGAAAAUUGGCUCCUUAUUGGCAAUUUUAAUGCCAUCACUUGUUUGGAUGAAAAACUUGGCGGUAACCAAGUGGUCACUCAAUAUAUGAUUAAUUUUUAUGAUUUCUUAAACAGCUCAGAUCUUUUCUCUCUCAGAGCUUCUGGUUUGCCUUAUACUUGGACAAAUAAACAUGAAGAUGGUACUCUUAUUUUUGAGAGACUUGAUAGAGCUUGUGUGAACACAAAUUUACUAAAUGAUUGUCCGGAUAUCUCCCUAGAAAACCUUCCAAUUAUAGGUUCAGAUCAUGGACCUGUUUGCCUCACUCUGAAUGACACUAAAAAGAAAGUUGCUAAAAGCUUCAAAUUUGAAGCAAUCUGGCUUUCUCACAAAGACUUCAAACCCUUGGUGGAACUUUAUUGGAAACAGAAUUUAAACGAUAACCCCUUGUUAAAUUUCACUACUAUUGCAGGUCAAUUUGCCAAUCAAGCAAAGCAAUGGAGCAAGAAUGUGCUUGGAAGUCUCACCAGACAGCUAGAAGACUUAAAUGAACGAGCCAGCGUUAUACAACAACAACUAAUGAUUUCUCCAAUGUCUAACUAUUUAAAGGAACAAGAUCUCAAGACUAAAGAGGAAUUCUUGAAACUUUACAGGGAAGAAGAACUCUUCUGGGCUCAGAGAGCAAAGGCAAAUUGGCUCAAUUUGGGUGACAGGAAUACGAGAUUUUUCCAAGCUCAGGCUAACAUAAGAAGGAAAUCUAACUAUAUUUCUAAAAUUAAAGAUAAUGCUGGAAAUUGGGCCACUUCUGAACAAGAUAUUGUUGAUGUAUUGUUACAGGAUUUUAAAAAACGUUUUCACAUGGACUCUGCUCCUAGCCAUAAUGCUCUUGACGAUUUUAUUUCCGUAAUAGACCCUUGUAUCGAUAAUAAUGAUAAUGUCUCUCUUUUGAAACAGAUCACAGAUGAGGAAAUUUGGGAUGUCGUUAAGGCUAUUGGAGCACUUAAAGCCCCGGGACCGGAUGGUUUGCAUGCCUCUUUUUUCCAAAAUUGCUGGUCAGAAGUGAAGGAUGUAAUUAUUCCUAUGAUUAAAGGUAUCUUUAAUGAUAGCAGUUUUUUACAUUUGAUUAACCAUACCAACAUUGCCUUGAUUCCUAAGGUAGAUAAUCCUACCAAAGUUAAUGAUUUUAGACCAAUUAGUUUGUGUAACGUCUCUUAUAAGAUCUUAGCUAAGAUAUUGGUGAAGAGGUUAAAACCUCUACUUGACAAGUGCAUUUCUAAAAAUCAAGGAGCUUUUGCUCCAGGAAGGGAUAUCCAGGACAAUAUUCUGAUUGCUCAUGAACUAUUAUGUGAUUUUCAGAGGAAGAAAGGUAAGUUGGGAGCUUUUUCUCUUAAACUUGACUUGGAAAAGGCUUAUGAUUUCUUGAAUUGGGACUAUGUUACCCAUUGCCUUAGGAAAUUUGGCUUCCAUAGCUCUUGGAUUAAGUUGAUCUAUAACUGUAUUUCGUCAGUUUCUUUUUCUUUACUGAUAAAUGGUAGCCCUUCGGGUUGGUUUAAACCAACUAGGGGGAUUAGACAAGGAGACCCGCUUUCUCCUUAUAUUUUCAUUUUAGCUAUGGAACCUCUUAUUAGACAAUUCAAUGAUCUAGCUAUGAACUAUAAGGCCCAUGUUGGUCUUUUGUCUUCCCCUUUAGGGUUCAGAAUUUCAAAUUUAAUGUUUGCCGAUGAUUGCUUGAUCUUUGCAAAGGCCUCUAAAAAAGAAGCAAAAAAUGUUUCAAAUGUUCUUAACCUUUUCUCUCAAUUAGCUUCGGGCCAGAAGAUCAAUUAUCACAAAUCUUCGCUAUUUUUCUCUCCAAAGGUAAACUCUACUACUAAAAAUGAUAUUGUUAGUGUUCUUAACAUUCAGCAUAAGUCCACCAUUGGAAAACACUUGGGUAUUCAUAAUGUUCUUUUUUGGAAAGACCCCAUUAAUGCUAAGGAGUUAUUACUCAAACUCACAAACAGACUUGCAGGUUGGAAGAAAGGUACACUCUCACGAGCUAGUAGACUGACUCUGAUCAAAUCGAACCUUGCUCCUAUGCCAAAUCAUGUCAUGACUUGUUUCAAAUGUCCCAAAAAGCUUACUAAUAGCAUUGACAAAUUAACCAGAGAUUUUUUCUGGGGUUCUGAUGUGAAAUGUCCCCCUGUAGCAUGGAAUCAAGUUUGUCAACCCAUGUCUACAGGAGGGUUAGGCAUACGACCAGCAAGUUUUUUCAAUAAUGCUGCUUUAGCUAAACUUGGUUGGAAGGUUCUAACUGAUGACAACAAUUGGUGGGCUCAAAUAGUUAGAAAGAAAUACUUAUCAAACAUUUCUUUUUUUCAGGCAAGGAAAAAGCAAAAUAACUCUACUGCUUGGAAUGGAGUAUUGGACUCAAGAGAACUGAUACUUAAAGGUAUGUGAUGGGUUGUUGAAAAUGGUAAGCAAAUUCAAUUUUGGACCUUUAAUUGGGUUUUUGAUAACCCCCUUAUUAAUUUAUUGCCUCAAAGCUAUCUCUCUAGGAUAAAUUUGGAUGAGUAUGUGGAGGACUAUAUUUUGAAUGGUGCUUGGAAUAAAGCUAAGCUUUGUUCAGUUCUUGAUAUAAGUUUAGUUAAUCAUAUACUUGGUGUUCCUUUACCUAUUUCGAACCAGGAAGAUGCUAUUAUUUGGGGACCUUCCUCAAAUGGUAAAUUUUCGAUUAAGUCUGCUACUUGGUUACAAUAUGAUCAAGUUCAGGAACAUGAUCAAAUACAGCUGCUAAACAAGUUAUGGAAGCUAAAUAUCCAACCAAAAGUUAAGCUUUUUGGUUUGCUCUUGAUCAGAGGCAGGCUCAAAACAAGAGACAGGCUCUCUAGGUUUGGUUUUAUUGAUGAUAACUCUUGCCCCCUUUGUAACAAUGAUAAUGAAACAGCUAACCAUCUUUUUGGUUAUUGUGAAUUUACUAAACAAGUUUGGAAUCUUUCUCACAUUGACUCCCCAGUUGAUUGGGAAGAGGGUUACCUCAAAGUUUUUAAGGAACUCUUUAUCUCUCAACCUUAUGAUGCUGAUUUGUUUGCAAAAGUGAUUACCAUUUGUUGGCAGGUCUGGAAAGUUAGAAAUGAUACUGUUUUUAGAGGAGGUGUUCCUAAUCCUCUAUCAACUACCUUAGCUGCAGCUUCAAUGAUCUCAUGUCAUACUAGUCUUAGCGAAAGAGUUAUGGGGGUGCAUUCUCAAAACCAGUGUGCCACUAUUAAGUGGCAAGCUCCUCCUAACUCUUUUGUUAAAAUUAACUUUGAUGGAUCAGUCACAAGUAACUCAGCUGCUUGUGGCUUUAUAAUUAGAGACUCCAAUGGAAGACCGAUCUCUGCUGCCUCCAAUUGCAUUGGUAGAGCUUCAGUUCCAAUUGCUGAAACCGUGGCUUUGAGAGACGGCUUACUCAAAGCAAAGGAGAAGGGUUUUACUAAUGUUGAAGUUGAAGGAGAUUCAAAGUUGGUGAUAGAUGCAGUGCUUUGAACCACCUUGGAGAUUGAUCAAACAAGUGGAAGACAUCAGAACUUUAGCUACUAGUUUUGAUUCUAUUACUUUUAGGCAUGUGUUAAGGGAAGCUAACUUUGUAGCCGAUGCUAUAGCUAAUCUUGGGCAUGCUUGUAAUUCUCCUAUGUAUUGGAAUGAUAGAAUUCCCAGUGAGGUUUCGAGAGCCUUACUAUUUGAUAUUGUAAACGUUGGUUGCCCUAGAGGCUUCUUAAUGUAAUUUAUUUUCCCUUUCAAAAAAAAGUCCAAAUUUAUAUUUCUUACCUCCUCUUUACGCCAUUUUGUCAUUGGGACCGAACCUGCUGUGUGAACAAUUGUUUAUUGAUCUCGAUUACUUUUGUUUCUUUCACUAAUCUUCUGCAAAAUAUAUCAAUGAAUUAGAAAAAGUUCAAAGGAUUUUAAUACUGGAAAAAAGUAGUAUACUUAGUUACGUGCCAUUCGGGAUCCAACUAUGUUUCAACCAAUUUCGGCCACACAAUUCUAUUUAUACAUUUUGGGCAAUGAGAAUAACGAUAUGUUCCAAAAACGAUGUUCCUUAUUACGCUCAUCUAGUCGGGAUAUCGGAUUUUGACAUGCUUUUCAAAUGUUUUCCUUACAUCUUCUUCAGAGCAUAAGAAUUUAAAGUUACAUUCUUUCCAGCGGUCAUAUAGGCUAUUCAAGCCACUCCCCCUCCCCCUUAUUUUUUGUAUUCGGGCCAUGUUGUAAGUGCCUUCUUCAGCUCUUGCUUGAAGAGUGGUAAUAUUGCACGUAUUGCAAAAGGGAUUAUGAUCUUGGAAACAACACCGUCAUUUAUUUUGAACAAGUAUUAAUGUCCUUACGUGAGACAUGCCUAGGGUCACUAAGGGGCAGUCUUGACCCGCCGAGGGCCGUCAAGGGGCCGUUUUGACUUGUCAAGGGACCACCUUGACUCUCCUAGACCCUCGUAGAGACCACCUAGACCCUCUUAGGGGCCACUUAGACCCGCCAAGGGGCUACCGAGACCCACUUAGGGCCGUUAAAGGAGCACCUUGACCCACCUAGGGCGGCGAAGGGGCCGCCGAUCGGCCGCCUUGACCAGCUUAAUUAGGGGCCACUGAGACCCAUCUAGGCCGUCGAGACCACCUAGACCUACUUAGGGCAGCGUCCCGCCUACAAGAGGCCUGGACCCGUGAAAGGACCGCUUGGACCCGCGUAGGGGUAGCCUAGAUAGACCUAUCAAAGGGGUGCCGAGACCCGCCUAGGGCCGUUAAGGAGCAGCCUUGACUGACCUAUACCUGCGUAGGGACCACCUACACCCGCUUAGGAGGCCACCUAGACCCACCAAGGGGCUGUCUUGACCCGUCUAAGCCCGCCAAGGGGCUGCCGAAACACGCCUAGGGCUGUCUUGACCGGCCUAGACCAGCGUAGGGACCACCUACACUCGCUUAAGGGUCAUCUAGACCAGUGAAGAGGCUGUUGAGACCCACCUAGGCCCGCGAAGGGGCUACCUUGACCCGCCUUAACCUGCGUAGAAACCACCUAGACCCGCUUAGGGGUCGCCUAGACCCACCAAGGAGCUGCCGAGACCCGUCAAUGAGAUUUUAGCUGAAACCAAGCGAAACUCGUAUACACUAAUUCGAUUGGGGUUUUUGAGUUUUGUCAGUUCGAGAAAUACUUAUUUGUCAUCAUUUCAUAAUAGGAAUCGUUUGGUUGAAAAAUAAGAACAUUCAAUUUUGUCGGAAAAAUUCGUGUGAUAUAGUAAGUGAUUUUGAAUAAAUCAAACAAAACUCGUAUACACUAAUCCGAUUGAGGUUUUCGAGUUUUUUCAGUUCAAGAAGUACUUAUUUAUCAUUAUUUUCUAAUAGACAUAUCAUAGGCCACAUAGACCCGCUAAGAGGCAGUUUAGACCCGCCCAGAGGCCGCAUAGACCCGCAUAGAGGCCACCUAGCUAGACUCGCCUAGAACCGUUUUGACCCGCAUAGACUUUCUUUGACUUGCCUCGAGGCCCCCAAGAUCCUCUUUGAUCCGCAUAGACUUUCUUGGACUCGCCUAGACCCACUUAAAGGCCGCCUUAAUCCACUUGGACCCGCUUCAAGGUCACCUAGACCCGCCUAGUGGUUGCCUAUACCACUUAGGGGCCACUUAUACCACUCAAGGGUCGUCUAGACCCGCUUAGAGACUGCUUAAAGGCCGCUAAGACCCGCGUAGGGACCGCCUGGACCUGCUUAAGGUUACCUAGACCUGCGUAGGAUCGCCCAGACCAGCUAUGAGGCCGCCUAUACCAGCCAAGGGGCCUCCGAGACUAACUAAAGGGCCAUCGAGACCCGCUUAGGGGUAGCGUUGACCCGCCUAUAGACCUACGUAGGGACCAUAUACACCCGUCAAAGGGCUGCUAAGACACAUUUUGGCCCUUCAAGGGGCUGCCUUGACCCACCUAGGGCCGCUUUGACCUCCUUAAGGCCCGUCUUAACCCACUUAGGGGCCGCUUAGACCCACGUGGGGACUGUUUAGCCCCGUUUAGGGACAGCCUAAACCCACUAAGGGGCUGCCGAGACCCGCCUAGGACCGUUAAGGGUCAGUCUUGGCCCGCCGAGGGCUGCCAAUGGAUCGCUUUGACCUACCUAGGGGCAGCUGAGACCUGCCUAGUGUCGUCGAUGGGACAUAUUAACCUGCUUAGGGGCAGCCUUGACCCGUCGGGGUUGUCGAGACCCGCCUUAACUAGCGUAGAGACCACCUAGACUCGCUUAGGGGCCGCCUAGACCCACCAAGGUGCUGUCGAGACCCGCCAAGGGGAUUUUAGCUGAAAUCAAGCGAAACUAGUAUAUACUAAUUCGAUUGGGGUUUUCAAGUUUCGUCAGUUCGAGAAGUACUUAUUUAUCAUCAUUUGAUAAUAGGAAAAAUUUGGUUGAAAAAUAAGAACAUUCAAUUUUGUCGGAAAAAUUCGUGAUAUAGUAAGUCAUUUUGAAUAUAAAUAAAAUGAAACUCGUAUACACUAAUCUGAUUGAGGUUUUUGAGUUUUGUCAGUUCAAGAAGUACUUAUUUAUCAUUAUUUACUAAUAGACAUGCCCAUAGGCUGCAUAGAUCCGCUAAAAGGCAGUUUAGACCCGCCCAGAGGUCGCAUAGACCUACAUAUAUAGAGGUCACCUAGACUUGCCUAGACCCGCUUUGACCGGCAUAGACUUUCUUGGACCUGCCUCGUGGCCCCUAAGAUCCGUUUUGACCUGCAUAGACUUAUUUGGACUCACCUAGACCCACCUAAAAGUCGCCUUAACCCACUUGGACCUGCUUCAAGGUCGCCUAGACCUGCCUAGUGGUUGCUUAUACCACUUAGGGGGCGCUUAUACCACUUACGGGCCGCCUAUACCUUCUUAGAGAUCGCUUAGGGGCCGCCUAGACCUACGUAAGGACCGCCCUGACCCGCUUAGAGGGCACCUAGACCCGCGUUGGCACCUCCUAGACCUGCUUAGGGCCGCCAAGAGGGCGCCUUAACCUGCCUAAGGCGGCUAAAGGGUUACUGAUGGGCCGCCUUGACCGGCUUAGAUGCCGCCGAGAUCCGCCUAAGACCGUCGAGACCCGCCUAGACUUGCUUAGGGCUGCCUAGACCUGCUUACAGGACAUCUGGACCCUCCUAGACCCAGGUAGGGGUAGCUUAGACCAGCGUAGGAACCACCUACACCCACGUAGGGACCACCUACACCCGCUUAGGGGCCACCUAGACCAUCUAAGGGGCUGCUGAGACACGCUUAGACCCGCCAAUGGGAUGCCUUGAUUCACCUAGGGCCGCUUUGACCUUCCUAGGCCCGCCUUAACCCACCUAAGGGGGGGUGAGGUCUAAAAUUUAUGGUCUUAAUCUUAUAUGUCACGUAAUAUAAGUAAAUAAAUAUUUAUUUCCAAUUCUUCAUAAGAUAUCUUGCCAAUGACACUAUGCAUUACCAAUUCUAUCAUUUCUAGCUAUUUCCUUUUAAAUUUAAAGGGGUGAAUCAAUGAUAUUAAUGAAUUUUAUUAGGUAAUGGAAACAAAUAAUAUGUAUUAAUAGUAGCUAUUAAUUAUGUAUAAAUUUAAGAAAUGUUUCUUACAUACUGAAUUAGCUAGUUCACACACAAAUAUAUAUAUAUAUAUAUAUAUAUAUAAUUAGUUUUGUCAAAUAAGCUCAGCCUUAUUUCAAAUAUACUAGCUUUGAUGCACCCGCGCUUCGCGCGUGCUAUCGAUUCAAAUACUUAAUUGUUUGAAUCAGAAAUCAAAUAAUCAAUUAUUGGCAAAUAUAGGUUAGGUCCUUAACCAAAACCCAGAAACACAGAAGUCUAAGACAAAUUAAAGUAGGUAAAGAGAGGCUGGAGGAUAUGUCAAAACAAUGCUGACAAAGUUUUAAUUUGAUUCAUCAAAGAGAAUUCCUUCAUGGUAGCUAUAGGUAAUAAUCACUAAUGGUAGAGUUCGGGAUCUUAAUGUAUAAAACAACAGCCUUCCAUAAAACUGAAGUUUUUGAUCAAAACCGACAUUGACUUUAUUCCCAACUUCAUGAGAAAUUCAUGGUACUCAGGAGUGUAAGAAAAUCAUAUAUCAUCAAUACACUAUACAACCAUUAUAGCUCUAUACAGGUACAUGCAUGUACACCGUCAUCCAGUAUCCUCAUUUCAACACCAAACUUAACAAAAGCAGCAUAUUGGAAAUUAUAAAAUACAAAAAAUGCUAAGUUUGCUAUUGGCUGGUCAAAUUUCUCCCUGCAGGCUAGCUGAAAUAAAGAAUUGUAGUAUUUGCACAUAAGUACAUUACAUCCUAGGCUCUGAAGAAAUGACAAUUGCUUGGGGAAAAUGUAAGGAAGUUCAAUUGCAACCUGAAAAAAAACAUGGACGUCGCAUAAGACAAAAAAGAAAUUUAAUCAGUAAGAUGUAUUUACUCGUAGAACAACUAUGAUAGACGUUUGUUUCAUUUUUCCUGCAUUCAUAUAUGCAUCAUAACUACUCUUCUGCAACAUGAAGUAUAAACAUGUCAUUAUUUAGAAGAUAUGACAAUGUUAUAUAAAUUGUCAAAGAAGUUUUUGUAACUUUUGUAUCAAUUAAGGUAUCUAACAAUCAACAUUCAUCUUCUCAUGCACAACUGAAUUUAAAAACAAAAAUUUGAUGAGUGCUAGUUCAGCUUUCAUUCUGUGAAUAUCACUGUCACUUACCCUAACAACUCGUAGUCGGUUCGAAUGCACAACAGUAGCUAUCAUCUAACCCAGAGCUGAAAGUUUCCGUAACUGCUCCAUCUUGUUAGACAAAGGUGAAAGUUUCCACAACAUGAGAAUUAUGAAAUUCAUUACAUUGCAUAUAAGUUUCAACAAAACAAACUGGAAACCAAUAGGGAAAAAGGGGAGUUCAAUUGCAACAACAGUGAAGAAAAAGGUCACAAACAUGAUCAAUCAAAAAGCUGCAAACCAAAAAUAUGUACGAAGACAAAAGGUCCCUUUUUCAUACACAAAUAAAAAAGGGCAGCUGAUGGUUCAAAAUUGAACCCAGAUAAAUAAAAGAAUGAGGUAACAGCCAGUAAAGGCAUCAAUCUAUCAUGUUCCAAAAUUUGAAAUUCAACAUGCAUCUGUACUUGUAAUAUUCAUAUGUCUGUAGUGCAUUAAUCAGAAAUUAACCUGCAUAAAACGUCCCAGUGAGAUUUUGGAGCACAGCCGCAGCAUGUUCUCCCUUCCUUGAACUGAAUGUACAUGUUACCAAUCUAACACACACACACACUCACACUCGAAGACAGUGUGCGGGCCCGCGUGCACACACAAUUAGUCAAACAAAUUAUGCCUAUACUAAAGAUCAAUUACGAAUUCAUUCUUCAUUUUGGUAAAACACUGAAUACAGAGAAAGAAACAUACUAUGUGAUGAGCAAAAUUAUCAUAGAUAUUCAAGCACCAAAAAAACAUACUAUGUGAUAAGGGAAAUUAUCAUAGAUGCUCAUCAAGCUCUCACAGUGUCAAACACAACUUCUCAAUUAGAUCCUUAGAGAAAUCCUGCAAACAAAAACCGCAUCUCUAUUAAUAAACAAUUCUCGUUUGGAUAGGAAUAGACAUCUUGUAGAAAGCGGCUAUCAUUUGGAAUGUGAAUUUUUAACACUCGAUGAUCACUGCCAAAGUAGCAAGUAAACUGACUAAACUAAUGCCCAAAGAAUGUCGAACAUGCACUGUGGACCACCAUUUGGACCACCAUGAAUACUUGAAAACUAAACCAAAAUAUAAGUGCCUAUGAAUGAAAAAAAGAAAAUCAAUGUCCAAUACCAAUAUGAUUUGCAAUGACUUGAAUGAAAGAUAAAAUGAAGAAAUCAUAGACGACUACCUAUAUGGACGUGCUAUGAUUUGGUUAUGCUAUGAUUUGGAGCUUCUAGGAAUUUGUUGUCCCUAUUGUUUGAGGAAAACAAAUAGGGGAAUUACUGCUUCUGGAUCAAAAUCAAGGUACCACCAGCUCUUUUUUUUCCAAUAUGCAAAUACACAGUAUAUCAAUACAACCAACACAUCAAGUUGAUCACCACCAAAAUUGAACACACCUAAUAUUUUAAUAAGAAGAAAGUUGUACAAAUGAAAAAAGGUGAAGAAGUAUCCACUUCAAAAGCCCAAAAUUAGAUAGAAUUAAAAGUCUUAACAUCAAUAGACACAAUUUUGAUGCUAACCCAUGAUAUAUACCACUGACAAUUUCAAAGCCUUGCAUCAAAAAAACAUAAAAAUUACUGAAGAAAGCGAGACCAACACAAUAGCAGCAAUAGCAAAUUCCAAUAUCAAAAUGAAGCACAGAUACAAUAAGUACCAAAGUAAAAUGAAACAUCACCAAAACCCAUUUGACUCAUCUAGAUGAAAACAUCAAUGCUCAAAAGAGUCGAUGACUGACAUUUUAGGAACCCUAAUACAAAAAAAUUAUCUGGGUAUGUGCCAAAACAGUAAGAGAGUCAUUCACCUUUAGUCGCAGAACUUGUGAUUUCAAUCAGAUUGGAUCAAAAUCAUGGAGUCUCUUCACGAAGUUUCUUUUUAUCGGUUUGUGGGAGCAGAAAGAGAGCAAGGGAGGGAGAGAGCUUCGUUCUAGACUGAGCCACUGAGGAGAGCGAUGAGAGACGAAAUUGACGAACCCAACAUAAGAAUCCUAAAACCCCAUCAGUCGGUGGAAAGUUAUAAACAGCGGUGUGUGAGUGAAGUUAGUAGAUGAACUAACACUUUCUGUUCUUUCUAGGUUUUCUAUUCUUUCUGUUCUCUGUGUUCUUUCACGGCGGUGUGUUUUGGACGUGGCUUUUUGUGAUUGAAACGUGGCAUGCUCAAAUAGGUACAGCCAACAGGUAGGCAAAUAUAGUCUUCCAAUUUUAUAUAUCUCUAUUAAUUAAGGCAAUUUGCCUUAUGAAACUGCAUUUGGUUAAAUUUUCAUAAACCUAUAAAUUACCCUUCUUCUAAAUUAAACCUAUCAACUCAGAUUACAUUAAAAAAAGGCUAAAACAGUAAACAACCAAAUCAAAACUAAAUAAAUGUUUAAUUAAUAGAGAACCAAAACCACCAACAAAGAGAAUUCUACGGAACCUAAGAAGCAGUUCAUUUAGGAUAACAAUGUCAAAAUUCAAAACAAAUCAGUUGUUCAGUUUAAGUCUUCCUCAUCUAUCUUCCGGUCCCUAUCUUCCUCCUCUCUACGUCUCCCAACUACUCACCUUCUCCAGGAAAAAAAACCCUCUUCAAACUUUUCUCACUCUCUGCUAACAUGUUGGCUCAAACUGGUGAAUGUAUUGCUCAGUGUGACCUCCCGAAAUAGUUUGUUAAAGAGGUCAGUGCUACAAGAAGAGUUGCUCCUGUGUAUCAUGUCAUUGCUUCAGUGUAUGCUGUAAUAGGUUUUUUUUGUUUGUGGCUCUUUUAGGGUAGGAAGCAUAUAGUACUACACCUAAUAAUAAUCUCAUAUAUCUCUGUUCUUCUUUGUACAGUUCGCUCGAAGGGAUUCUUGGUAAAUGUCUCUUGCAUCCAGGAAAGAAGAGAAUUGUGAGAAGUAAUAUGGUUUGAUUCAGAAAGGAGUCACAAAGGUAAAGCUUUGAUUAUAUUAUGGUUCCUAUCUAGAUUUUAUUUCUAAACUUAAUAUUGAAACCAAAGGGUCGUAACUGAAAAAGGAUCAUUCUAUUCAUAUGAUUUUGGACAACCGUGUUGUAAACAACUUAAUUUAUAGCUUAUGUCUCUUCUGUGUCGUCAAGUUUAUGAUUGAUACCAAAACUAUUUAUACUUGAUAUGUUAUCACAGAAUGGCAACUGUGUCUCUUAAAUGUAUUCUUCCUUCGUAUUUGUUUUUUUUUGUUCUUAGUUUCUUAUGUCUCUUCUGUGGGUUAUCUAAUUACAGUGUAAGCUAACUCUUUCGACCAUUAGAACAUCCAUCUCUUUUGAUGUGUGCUAACUCAAAAGUUUUUAAUUCUCUCUUAUUACAGUUGAAAAACAGACACAAAGACCAAGUAUGAAUCUUCAUUUCUUUAUGUCUUUAUUACUGUGUUCAGAAUAUAUAUGCACCUUUAGUUCCUUUUCCCACUAUUGAACGUGUGUACAUCUACCGUUUGUUUUCUUGAUGACAAAUUUUUGAACUCCAAACACAGGAGCCUUCUUGCUCUCUCUAUAUUGUCAUCAAGCCAAACGCAUAGAAAAUAGAAGCAUAUAUAAAAGGUAUGCUAAUAUGAUGGAUUGUAAUAGUGUAUUCCUUUGAUUCCUCAAAUUUUCCAUAAGAUGGCUUUUAUUUGCCUUAUUUUUGUGCUUCGAAUGUUUAGUUUAAUAUGCAGUAUAUUUUCCUAUUUAUUGGUUUUAUGAUAUUGGCAGGGUGAUCAAGUCGAAGCCAUUGAGCCAAUUCGUGAGGUUCAAACUGACAAAGCAAAAGCACUGACAGAGUAAUAAGACCUCACCCCUUCUUAUCCCUUCUUUUCAUUUUAAGUACCAUUUCAAAGCUGUUUGACGAUGUUUAAGUAACUUUGUGAUGUUGUAAAAUCACAUGCAGACUACAAAUUAUGUAAAUCAUGUGUCUUAUUGCUUCACUUUGUCUUCAGUAACUAUCUCUGUUAACCUUCUCUGCGUAUUCCCUCUAUGUUAAGCUUCUGCACGCUAUCAGUUUAAGGUUCCUAUAAACUUUGUUAACUGUACAAUACUUAUUACGUCCUAAUAACUCAAUCUGUUUGUAUUUGCUUAGAGUUGGUAUGCCGUAAUCAUUGUAGCAACUGAAAAAUCAGAGAUGUUUCAGUUGAUUGUUGGUGCCCUGAACUACAUCCAGAGGCCUAAAAUAGAUGAACAUAGACUCAUUUUGAACUGAUGAUAUGGCAAAAUAAGCAAAAUAAUAGUUAUUCCCCCUUGGUGAUAUGUACAAAAUCAAACCAACAUAAUUAAUCAUGGAUAUACAAUAGGAGGUGGCAAUGAUGCAGUGACAGACCAACUCUACUAAUUAAUAUAGGAGAUAGCUUUUAUUUUCUUCCUAUAAUUACAUUUCUGCUAUAUCAAAACUUUGUUUCAGUCUCUCACAAGUCAUAACCUUAUCCUUCUAUCCCAGGGAAAAAAAAAUCAAUGGAUAGAGUUAGGAAGCAAAUGUAUUGUGCUGUUGCGUUGUAAUAUACAACUUCCUCCCCACAAAUAUAGCCUCAAAUAACCGUUAUUGGUUCUCUGUUAUCCAUGAUGAGUAUGGUUCAACCGUUUACAUGCUAAAUCUAUGGCGGUUUUCAUGUCACCUUUUCAAUAUGGCAAAGAGGGUAUACCAUCGAUCCCACGACCUACAAAUUGGUUGUUGCGUUAAGAAAGAAAAUCGCCAUUAAAAAUUUACUCACACCAUGACAUGUAUAUACAAAAAAUUGGUGCAUUACAUUUAACCCUGUUAUUGACACAUCAGUUUAGUCUAAACUCUUCUAUUUAAAGGUUCUUUAUCAUUUCUGAUGUACUUUUUCUUUUUUUCUUUUUUUUGGGUGUAUAUCGUUCUAUAAUGUAAAGUUACGUGUCAUUUAGCUUUUUUGGAUAUAAAUCAGUCACUAUAAUGCUUUAGACUUUUAGACUCCAGUUUAAGAACAAUAGGGAAGAAAUUACCGCCACCAAAGACACUGAAAACAUAUGGGAGCAUUAAAAACUUACCAAAAAAUAGACAAAGAAAAGGACAACCAUGCAGAGAAACUACAAGACUUCUAUUGCGAAAUUAGGGCUUCUUUGGUGUUAGGAUACAUGUAAGAGCUAUGCUGAGAAGGAAUAUAGGGUUUAUUCUGUUAAAUAUGUUUUAUGUUGUGAAUAGUUACUAGCUUUCUGCAAGUGCAACGGUUUUUAAAUAUAUAAUAUUUCAUGAAAAAAAAAAAACACAUUCUUUGUAAUCUUUGUGGCAGGAACAAACGCCAAACACUAAUGGAGCGUGCACGUGAUCAACACCGACAAUGGCGAGAGUCAAUGUGCCCUUCCGAACGCGAUGCCUAUUUAGAAAGACGUCGCGCAAUAGCUCGAGGAAAACGACCAAGGGUGGAAAAUGAACCCUCAGAACCAACAGAAUAGAAUUCAGGUAUUUAUUUUUUCAUAUUAACUUUUAGCAUGUUGUUGCUUUAUUAUAUGUUGCUUAAUUAAUAGAGGUAUAUACCUCAAUACAAAAACAGCAUGUUAGUUGCUUUGCUAUAUAUUACUUAAUUAAUAGAGAGAGAUACCUCAAUACAAAAUCAGCAUGUUAAUAAUCACACCAUGUAAUAACCGGCUAAAAACUCAAUUUGCUAAUUAGUUUUUGUCAAUAGAUGAAAUUAACAACGAGGGCACAAAUUCAAGAAUUGCUUCAAUUACGAACGAGCAACAACAAGACUAUGCUCGAGCUAGAUUGACACACAUCAGACAGCUAGCCCGUUCGACUGCAUCACGUGCAAGUGAUGCAGAUGUCCGACGUUAUGCUCUCUAUGGUGAGUCGUAUAUAAAAAUUAAAUGCAAGGUGUUUUACACAUAAAAAUGCAAAAGUUAUCUAAUAAUACACAUAAUAAUUGUGUUGUGUCAUUAGAAGAAUCAGACAAUGAAGGCACAAGGUCAAGAAAUACAUCAAGCUCCAACAACCAACAACAUGUCCCUUCACGAGUUCGAUUAACUCACAUAAGGCAGCUAGCCUGUUCAAAUAGGUCACAUGCAAAUGAUGGAGUUGCCCCGUAUUCUACUCGCUACGGUGAGCCUAAUAAAUUAACCUCAUUAGUCGUAAUUAAUAGAGAUGUGUCUGUAUUUUAAAAAACAACUUUUAACAAAAUUAAAUUAAUUUGUUUCACUUAUAUCCAGAGUUACCUAAUUCUACCAUGAAUAAUCACGAGGAGAAUACAAACAAUGUGGCAACGAAUAAUGAUGAUGCACACACCAACUACACUGAAACUGUGAAUAUCAAUGUACUCCCAGUGAGUGUGGAAAUUGUCAUCAGGCGCGACACAAUAAUGUUCAUCGAGUACCGCGAAUGAGACGAGAGUGCAUUCGCCACAAUUCAGCGAGAGAUUUCCAUGAAGAAAGAGGGGUCCAAGAUUGUCACUUGCCCUCACCAACAAUAUGCCCAUACUGCACAUCAUGGUUAUUCCAUCGAGAGACCUUCAGUUUGUGUUGCAUGAAGGGAAAUAUUGAUUUACCUCUAAUAGAGUCUCCCCCUGAAAUGGUCCGACUAUUUUCUGACCAAACUGAUGAGAGUAAAAAUUCAAACAAAAUAUUAGAGCCUACAACAACGUGUUUGCAUUCACUUCAAUGGGUGUACAUCUUGAUGAAAGAAUUAAUGUCCAAGGUCGUGCACCUUAUACCUUCCGUGCUCAAGGUUCUAUAUAUCAUAAAAUCGGUGGUCUGGUACCGGCUGAUGGGAGAAGACCACGGUAUCUACAGGCUUAUAUAUACGACACCGAGCAUGAGCUUCAGAAUCGAUUGUCUGAAAGUGAAGUUUUAGAGAGGGGUAUAGUGGAAAAAAUUCAACAGUUAAUCAACACAAUCCCUUUGUUCAAACAUUUCGAAGUCUGGGACAGCGUCAAGAUUUGCCUAAUUGUAGGCUCAUCAUAAGAGAACAACCUUCUGAUCGUCACCAAUACAAUUUACCAACUGCAUCACAAGUUGCGGCUGUUAUAGUAGGAGGUGAUGACAUCAAUCCAAAUGGAAGAGAUUUCAUUGUACAAACAAUAAGCGGAUGACUUCAGACUGUCAAAGACUCGGUUAGAUAUUAUGAUCCAAUGCAGUAUCCAUUAUUAUUGCCUUAUGGAACAUAUGGAUGGGACAUCAAUAGUCGUGGAAAUAACGGAAAGGAAAUGACAUGUUGCGACUACUACGCAUAUAUGUUACAGGUUAGUUAUAUGUCCACUUUAAAUUUGAAAACAAAAGGGCUACGAGAGGAUAAAAUAUUUACUUUAAAAUCUUAAUUUUGUAGAUGCGUCAAGGUCAAGAAAAUCCUCUACAUCGAGGAGGGCGUCUCUUACAACAGUAUGUUGUAGAUAAUUAUGUAAAAAUUGAAUCACAAAAGCUCAGAUGGUUUCGUAAUAAUCAAGACAAAUUUCGGACAGAUGUUCGUCAGGGGCUUGAAGACUCUCUACAUGCAGGAGAAAACAAUGUAGGUUUGACUUCGUAUUAUAUUGGAUAUUAUAGCAUCUUAUGUAUAGUACGUGUAAUUUUUUAUUUUAUUGAAGACUGAUUUUAUUAAAGAUUAUUAAAGACAAACAUUAAAAAUAACAUCACAUAUGACCAGGUAACGUUGGUCGUAGAACAAUUUUACCAUCAUCAUUUAUUGGAAGCCCACGUGACAUGUACCAGCGAUAUCAAGAUGCAAUGGCUUUGGUUCAAAAAUAUGGGAGGCCAGAUCUUUUUAUCACCAUGACAUGUAACCCUAAUUGGGAAGAAGUUAAAAGUGAACUGCUCCAAGGACAAGUGCCACAAGAUCGUCCCGAUCUGGUGACUAGAGUAUUUCAUGCAAAAUUAGAGCAAUUGAAAGAAGACGUAAUAAANNNNNNNNNNNNNNNNNNNNNNNNNNNNNNNNNNNNNNNNNNNNNNNNNNCCGUGCAGUCCCUUGAGGUGGCUGCCGAGGUAUGCUACUCCUCCCCUAGUCCAAUUCUCUUUUCAUCUAACAAGUUUCUUCCUUCCAUUGUCCAAGCUCCAAAAUUAGAUCUCAAGGUUCUUCCGGAACAUUUGAAGUAUGUGUACUUGGGAGAGAAUGAAACAUUGCCGGUUAUCAUGUCAUCAUCAUUAGAGAAGAAGCAAGAGGAGAGAUUGAUCGAAGUUUUGAAGAGACACAAGACGGCCAUAGGGUGGACCUUAGCCGACAUCAAGGGAAUUAGCCCUACAAUGUGUGUUCAUCGAAUUUUGCUUGAAGAUGGAGUAAAACCGACCAAGGAGGGUCAACGACGUCUUCAUCCACCUAUGAUGCAAGUUGUGAAGGAUGAGGUGACAAAGUUGCUUGAUUGUGGAGUCAUCUACCCAAUUUCGGAUUCAAGGUGGAUUUCACCGGUUCAAGUUGUGCCAAAGAAGAGCGGAAUCAUGGUGGUGAAGAAUGAUGAAAACGAGCUUGUGCCGCAAAGGACCGUUACCGGCCACCGAGUGUGUAUCGAUUAUAGGAGGCUCAAUGCAACAACAAGGAAGGAUCACAUGCCAUUGCCAUUCAUUGAUCAAAUGCUUGAGAGGUUAGCCGGUCAUUCCUUCUAUUGUUUUCUUGACGGUUAUAGUGGUUACAAUCAAAUAAGUGUUGCGGAAGAGGAUCAAGAAAAGACAACGUUUACAUGUCCCUUUGGCACUUUUGAUAGUUAAGGGCUGCCUAAGCCCUAGACGUGUGUAAACCAAGAUUUUGGUGUUGAUUUUAUAGUUUUUUGGAUAUUGAAUGUUUGUUGAUUCAUUGGUUUCUCAUUUGAUCAAUUAUGGUUUCGUUUAUUAUGGUUGCAAACGUAGUAAGCAUGCUAGAGUUUUAUUGCUAUGAUUUUGUGUUUUGAUCAUCAUGUCAAGCAUAUUAUCUAGAGUAGCACAUGAGUGAUUGUGCCCCAUUUAUAUGAAUUGGCAUCUAGGUAGAUUAGGACAACAUCAGUACCAAAAUUGCCUAGCUUUAUUCAUAAUCUUUUCGAUCUUACUGAUUUCUAUGUGUGAGAUGUGCAAGAACAUCACUCUAGGUUCCAUGUUAGAAGCUAGGUUAAGUUGAAAACAUCAUUCUCUUAACAUACCAAGUAAGAAAUUAAGGUUGAUAGGUUAAGUUCAACAAAUCAUUGGCUUAGCUUGGGUAAAGACAUUCAAUUGAAUAGAAGCAUAUAGGUUAACAAAUCUUUGGUGAAAUAUGUUUUAGUGGGGUGUAUGGUUGUUCCUAGCAUAACUAAAGUGUAUAGGAUUUUAGAGUUUGACAUAACUAAAUAACAAUUAAAAAAAUCCAAACAUUGGUUUUGCCUGCAAAAAAGGGCGCAAGUUCUUUAUCCUUCAAGUACGCGGCCCAAUUUCUCUGGUACCUGCAUCAACAUGCAAAUCUUUCAAAAGGAGAAUAGCCAAAUCACUCAUCAUAAUGCAUUAUCUCUCUCUCUCUCNNNNNNNNNNNNNNNNNNNNNNNNNNNNNNNNNNNNNNNNNNNNNNNNNNAUACGAAAUUGGAAGGUUCUUGGACGCAUAUACAGCGUGUCACCAUCUGAAAGUGAGAAAUUUUACUUACGUGUUCUUUUGAAUCAUGUAAGAGGUCCAGAAUCAUUUUUGGACUUGCUUAUUGUUAAUGGUGCUUUACAACCAACAUUCAAGCAGGCAACAGAGAACCGAGGUUUGCUUGGAAAUGACAAUAGUAUUCGAAUGUGUCUAGCGGAGGCAUCUGCAAUAAGGAUGCCAUUAGCUUUGAGGAGAUUAUUCGUGACAAUUUUGGUGUAUGGGGUGCCAGCUGGUGUUUGAGCAUUGUGGGAUGAAUUUGCGCAUUUUAUGAUGGAAGAUUAUACUUCAUCUAAUGAUGUUGCAAACAGAAACAGGCUCUUACGAGACCUAAAUAGAAUAAUUCAACGGUUUGGCAAGAACAUUAGAGAUUAUGACCUCCCUCAAUUGACCGGUGAGCCAGAAGAUAAUAUAGGAAUGCCGAGAUGUAUUGAAGAUGAACUUUUUAUCGAUGUCCCUUAAGAAGAUAUUGAUGCAAUUGAUCAUCUUAACAAUGACCAAACGGUUGCCUUCAACACCAUAAUGUCUGCUGUGGAUGGAAAAGAAAGUGCUUUGUUUUUUGUUGAUGGUCCUGGAGGUUCAAGAUUCCCUUUUAAAGUACUACCUUCAUCCAUGUGUUCCAUAGGUAAACAGUCUUCACUGGCGCAAUUGGUACGAGAUUCCAUUGCAAUUAUAUGGGAUGAGGCACCUAUGACAAAUCGAGAUGUCUUUGAAUUAGUUGAUCGAACUUUUCAGGACAUAAUGGACGUGGAACUUCCUUUUGGUGGUAAAAUAAUGAUUUUUGGGGGAGAUUUUCGUCAAGUCCUUCCUAUCAUUCCUAAAGGAACAAGGUCUCAACUCAUCGAAACCUCGAUUAUGAGAUCAUCGUUUUGGCCAGAUACAAGGAUAUUGAGACUGAGGCAGAAUAUGAGAUCCAUAAAUGACCACCGAUUUGCAGAUUUUCUAUUAUGUGUUGGCGAUGAGAGUGAACAAGUCAUACAUGAUGACAUGAUAAGAUUACCAGAAAGCAUGGUGAUUCCUUGGCAAAGCGACCAAUCUAUCUUUCAAAUUAUUGACAAAGUUUUCCCAAAUCUUGGUGAUCACGUAGGAGAUGCAAGAUACAUGGUGGAUAGAGCAUUGAUCACUCCUUUGAACGAUGAUGCAGACAUGUUGAAUGAAAAGAUGAUCAGUAUGUUUCCUGGUGAAGAAAUUACAUUUUACUCAUUUGACUCUGUUGAAAAUGACAUCCGAAAUCUGUACCAGCCAGAGUUUUUAAAUUCAAUAACCGCAAGCGGUUUACCGCCGCACAAGUUAACUCUGAAAACAGGUGCUCCAAUCAUGCUCUUGAGAAAUAUAGACCCAAAAUUAGGGUUGUGUAACGGUACUAGAUUGUUAUGUCGUGGUUCCUACCAAAAUUUGAUUGAUGCAGAAAUUAUGACAGGCGAGUUUGUUGGGGCUAGAGUUUUUUUGCCCAGAAUUCCUUUGCAAAGUGCAGAAAAUGCGGGGCUACCAUUUCAACUUACAAGAAAGCAAUUUCCAGUCAAGUUGAGCUUUGCUUUGACCAUAAAUAAAUCUCAAGGUCAAACCAUCCCACAUGUGGGAUUUUACCUCCCAGAUCAUGUUUUUAGUCAUGGACAAUUAUAUGUGGCAUUGGCAAGAGGAGUAUCAGAGUCUACCACAAAGGUGUUAGUUAAAAAAGGGUCCAUAGUUGGUGAAGAUGGCGUAUUCACUAAGAACGUCGUGUUUAAAGAAGUUUUGCUUCAUUAGUCCACCAAAAAUGAUAUGUCGUUCAUAGGUACUUCAUUCAGUAAAUCAAAUUAAUUGCAGUGCUUAGCUUUUAAUUGUUAUGUUUAACUUUUUGAAUUUUUUCUUAUUUGUAGAAGUACUGCGACAUGGAAGCUCUCAACUACAGAAGACUCUACAAAUAGACGACGGCUUUAGGCGACAUGUUUCUUUAUUUUCAUGUGGUUGGCGCAAGGGAAUAUCAAUGACAGUGAACACCGUUGAUCUCAGUAAUCUGAUUCUAAAAGAGUGGAAGAAAAAGAAACAAGCACAGUUUGUACUCUUAAACUCUUUUUUAUUUUCUUUCACUUUUAGGUAUUGUUACUAAUUGAAAUUCUUAUAGUUGGAAGUACAAAAAUGCACGUAGGGAAUUGAUGACACAUGACAUUUCUCACAUUAAACAAACUUGGAGAAAGGUUCUGCGUGUUAGGUAUUCAACACCAUCUAUUCAAGAUCUAUUUAUUUGUUAUUUUUAUUGCAUGCAUCUUCAACAUUCACACAAGUUUUCUUGACUUUUAUUUUCAUGCUCACCAACUGGAUACAUAUGUUUACAGGAAGCAAAAACACAAUGAGCAAUACUCCUUUUUAGUUAAGGUAUUGUAAUUUCACUUAGAAUACUUAACAUUAAACCUUGAUACAUAAGCAUGCAUUAUGACAUCUCCCUCUCCAUAUUUACAAGUUUUUCUUUACAGUUUGACAACCAGCGUCUUGAGAAGUUGAAGCGUAAUAUUGAGGUGAUAAUAUACAUAAUGAGUUGUUUCAUAUGAUCUAUAUACUUAGUUGAAUUAAUUUAACGCUUUCAUUUUACCACAGACCUCUUCUGAUAAUUGGAGCAGGGGUAUUGCAACAAGUGAAUUAUCUAAAUUCAUGGUAAGUUGCUCAGUGUACCAAUAUCUUACUGUUUAAAGUGAAAACUUUGAGAUUCACUGUCUUAUUGAUUUUUUUCCUACUCUGAAUUUAUAGUUUAACCAACGAUGGUUGACAAAUGAAUGGCUGAGAUGGAGUUGAUCGGAGCAUGUGGACUUGAUUAGUCUUUCUUUAAAAUUCAUUUUCAAAAACAGUUUUAUAACUGUCAUUAUUAAAAUAAACUUUAAUAAGUAGACAGCCAUCAAAAUUUUCGGCGUUCUGUAAUUUGCUACAUUUUUAAAAAAUGCACCCCUUUCAUCUUCAACAAAUUUCAUAAUUUAUUUUAAUAGACAAUUUCAAUGCCUUUUUUCACUAUAAAUGAAUGUUAAUAAAAAAGACUAUUACAUGUCAAAUGAUACAAUAAUGUAGUGUGAAUUAUAUGAAGCAAAAUAUAAAAAGACGAACAUUGCAUGCAUUGAUAAAAGAAAUGUUAACUAAUGUUAAAAACGUUAAAAAAAUUAAAAGCACGCGCGAAAGGCUAGUAUAAUUUAUAAAAAAUUGUGGACGGGUGGGUGCGGGUAUUGUUCAUGUGAACAGUAACUCAUGCACCCGCCUCGCUUAAUAUAUAGAGAUUUGUAUUUUUCCUGAUGUAUUUACUUCUUCUAAGUUUUCUAUUUCGUAUAAACAAAUAAAUAAAACCAAAAACUUCUCUCUAACAACCGCCACUCAACCCUAGAGAGCGAGAGAGAAUACACAGAGCUUUUUCGCUUGUCUGGCUGCACCUCGUCGCCAUUGACGGCCUCCGGCCUAGCCGGCGUACACGGGGUACGGCCAGACGGGAUCGGUGGGUCGAUUCUUCAUUCAAGAGGCGAGGAUUAGCGCAGGUUGGUUCUUUUUCAGUCUAAGAACAGGAGGAGAACCUCGCAUUGAGAAGAGGUCGCCGAGCCAGUCCAUCGACUCCCCCAUAGUUGAGACGAGAGAGAGAUGAGCGAAGAGCUCCUUCUCAAUCGAACUAUCAAUCAAAGCUGCCGCUAGCAGGAAAUAGCCAUUACUGAGCAAACCCUAGCCCUCUCGAAAGAGAGAGAGGAGAGAACAAUUUUUUACCAAAUCUAUGAAAUGAUAACUUGAUUUGCAUCAUUGCAUAAAUUAAUUAAUUCGAAUAUACUUAUAUACUCGACUCCAAGUGUUUAUUAACAAUUCAAGAAGUGCUGAACGAAAUAAUAUGUAGAAUAUAGAUUGAGUUAACGUAUUGUACAUAGUUGUUCCCUAAACUAAUAAUGGUCGUGAAAAUAUAGUAAUGAAUGGCUUCCAACAAGGAAGGCCUACAUGCAUGAAAGAACCUGUCAAAGAAAUUCGAUGUCAUCUUUCCAAGCAAAUAUACGCAUCAGCUGGCAUCAGCUAGCUGAAAAGUUCAAAGCAGCUUUUCUUUAUAGUGAACUGGAAAAUGCAUGAGAUCUUGUUAUUCUUUCUUUGAAAGAUUCCAACUAGCUAUUAAGAAACUAAACUAGCCGUUAAGCAAACAUUGACCAACUGGAUCGGAGACACCAUGAUUGAUUUGAGAACAGCUCGAAGGGGCUGAAACAAAGCUAUUAUACCAAAACCGUUUGAGAGAGAGCAGCAUAUGUCGAUUUGGCCCUCUUUUUUAAUUGAGUGCCGUUGCGAAAAGAGACGCGAUCGAUGACGACGAAGAAGAAGCUAGACUUGGUUAGCAAGAUGCCAAGUUCUGCCCAAGCAUUUUGUUUCUUUAAUCAUGUGUGUUCAACAAGAAACCACUGUACGUUCCUUUACAAAAAAAAAAACAAGAAACCACUGUACGUUGAUUGAUUAGGGUCAAUAUUGUAACUGUAACUAUAUAUAUGUAUCAUGAGAAUUCUCCUCUGAAAAAGAAAUUGUUAGGGUUUUGUUUAUUGGCAAAAAGUUCAAACAUAGCUUUUAUUGGAUUAUUCAUGUCGAGGAAGUCAUGUAUAUGGUGUAGGUAGAGCUACGAAUGUUUUUACCGGAUCUAUGGCGGGUUCAUAAUCUUAAAUAUAUGCGAAAUUUAUUGUUUUAUUUGAUUACAUGCGUAUUUAAUUUGAUGAUUUUUAUAUGUAAUUUAUUUAAUAUUCGUAUUGUAUUGUGAUGAUUUAUCUAGUGUAAGAGUAUUUGUAUAGAUCCUAAUCGUUCUAUAAAGUAUAAACGACUUUACUUUCACGUUAAGUCAAAACGUUAGGUUUUCUGUUCAUAAAAAUUAAAUAAAAGAUGAACAAAAUUACGUAUAUAUGAUGAUACUCAUAAGUUAGAUGUUUUGUAAUUUUUUUCUAUGAAAUAUUGUACUUGUCUUAUCUUUUAUCUCUAACCAGUUGAGCUAGGCUGUCAAGUAGUUAAAGAAGCUAGGCAUCUAAUUCUGUUUGGUGAGUAGCAAGUUUUUUAUUUUAUUUUUUAUUAUAAUUUUUUAUUUUUUAUAUGCAUGGGCUUCUUCUUCUUUCUUCAUUGCUCAUUGUUCAGAAAUUGCCCUACUAAUUCAAAAGCGAACAACUAAGCUAUUUGCCAAUUUCCUACUCCACAAUUAGAAUCAAACAAUCAAGACUUUCUUGCUGUAAAAUAAUCAAAAUGCCCCUUAUAAGCUAGAUUAUUCUUCCCCUAAGCUUUGCCAAAUCCCAGAAAUACCCUCCUCUCUAGCUACUUCGGCCAGCAUUCCCAUUACCAGCUCAGCUCAGCUGCAUCACCUUCUUUAUGAAGAAACCAAAGCCAAGCACACACCAACCUCUUAAAUUCCUCCAUUUGUAUAUAUACCACCACCAUCUCAGUCUCACCUUCUUAACCUCAUCGAAACACACAUAUAUGAUAUAUUCCUUACCCUAAAAACAGCAACAAACACAGAUAUCGAUCGAGCUACAGAGAUUGAUCAACAACGUCGUCAUGGAAAACAGAGAAGUCAGAGAACUACGAGAGGUUUUUGACAGACUGGAGAAGAGCUGCAGCUCGAGCAGCUCCAAGUCUUCGUCGACGUCGAGGAAGACGUGGUCGUUAAAGAAGGUGAUCAGCAAGGAGCUGUGGCCUAGGAAAUUCUCGUCCGUGUUCCGGUGGAAGCGCGUCGACUUGCGUCUGAGCAUCAUCGACGACGUCGUCUUCAAGAUACUCUCCGUCGUGGAGGCUGUCGUUCUUGUCUCUACUUUAUGCUUCUUCUUCCUCUGCUGCGGUUGCCACAUCUGAUAUCGAUGCCAGCUAUAGUUCAUUUCAUUUCAUUCUUAUAGUUUCUUAAAUCUUACUUCGUCUUAAUUAGUUAAUUACUUGUUCCGCUGCUGAUCGAUUAUAUCUAGGCCUAGCCUUCUGGUAUUAUUCUGGGUUUAUUUUAUGGUGUUAUUGCUUUUGUUGCCAAAAUUGGGCAUAGCAAGCAUGUCAUGUAAAAACUCAUUCAUUCUGAAAAUAAGAUGAGCUCUCUCAAUCUGCAAUUAUUAAUUUAUGAUCUGAAUCAUCUGAUUAAUCUGUUCUUUCAUCAGUCUCUCAAUUCAAAAUUUCAAGUUUAGAGAAGGUUAAUAUCAUGACGAUAAGUCGUCAAUGCUUUCUUUUGCUCAAAAAAUUAGACCCUGACCCAACUACCCACCAAAUCGAUCAGUAUCAAACUGGAAACCAAAGUUGUUGUCAGUAAACAGCUGAUACAUGCGUACAAGUUUCUUACUAGAAGAUCUUUUCGUCCAAAACAAUCGAACAAAGAAAAUGAACUAAACAUAGUAAUAGAGCAAAACUAAAUAAUCAUGACCAAAACCAAACUGUAUAUAAAUGACAAAAUUAGAAAGUUUUUACUUUCUACCACACAGUCGUUGUUUGAUAUAUUCAUAAUCUUUUUACGACGUAACCAACCAUAUGUUUUCCGAUACUAGAAAUGAAACAAGGUUAAAGAGCCAUUCCUAGAACAACCUGAACUCAAACUCUCAUUUUGUUGAUCUCAAUGUGUGUAUGUUGUUCUUUAAAAUGAAGUACGAAUGUGUCACACCAAGAUCAUCACAUUAUAAAAGUAGGUGCAUUGAGCAUAUCAAGAUCACUCGCUAUCAUCAAAACACUAAUAUGGUAUGACUUCUCAUUUUUGAGUGGAGAUAAAUCAUAAAAGUCUCUUUCAAAUGAAAGUUAUUAAAAGUCAUGACCUCAAACCAAAUAGUUUACCCCAAUCACUUUAUUUUACUCAGAUAUGGCAUGAAACAAAUUUUCUAGCUUGCUGAUUCAAACGCAGAUAUCAGUAACUCUACCUUAGUUGUUGUCUGGCAGAAUAGGCUUCCGUCUCUCUUCCACCACAACUUUCAAUUCCGAUUUCUAUGAUUUUGUGAUUUAGGUUGUAUUAUGAGUUCUUCUUUGUAAUUUUGUUGUUUUUCUUUAUUGAAAAAAAAAAAACUGUUUGGACCACUGGGCCGGAUUCCCUUGGGCUUGGUCUACAUUUGGGCCAAGUAGCUCAUUCCACAGGUCCAGAUUCAUAAGAAAAGUAAAGCAAAAAGCAACUUAACUAGAAGAGGAGUGUCUCUCCAAACCGGGUCAGAGAAAACAUGGCUCAUUCUCCAGCCUCCACCGCCUCUCCACUCCAACGCCUCUCCACCUUCAAAGCCACAACCACCACCCCCUCCGCCGCGUCCCCACUCGAAACCUUCGCCGCCGAUCCCAUUUUCUCGGCCUUCCUCUCCCCCUCCUUCUCCUCCACCUCCUUCUCCUCCGCCGCACUCUCCUCCGGCUCCCCCGCCUCCACCGCCGAGAAGCUCCAGCACGCCAUCCGCCUCCUCGAGUCCCAGCUCCGCUCCGAGGUCCUCUCCCGCCACUCCGACCUCCUCUCCCAGCUCUCCUCCCUCCAGCACGCCGACCACGCCCUCUCCACCGUCCGAUCCUCCGUCCACUCCCUCCAGUCCUCCCUCCGCCACACCCGAUCCGAGCUCUCCGACCCCCUCCGCUCCAUCACCGCCCUCACUCUCCAGCUCUCCAACCUCCACGCCACCUCCGAGCUCCUCCACCACACCCUCCGCACCCUCCGCCUCUCCAAAAAGCUCCGCGACCUCGCCGCCGACCCGGAGAAGAUCGAUCUCGCCAAGGCCGCGCAGCUGCAUUGCGAGAUCUUGGCGAUCUACGACGAGUACGACCUCGCCGGCAUCGAUGUCGUCGAGGAGGAGCUCGCCUGGGUCAGGGAGACCGGCGACACCUUGCGCGGCGAGGCCAUGAAGGCCUUGGAGCUAGGGAUGGAGGGAUUGAACCAAGGGGAGGUGGCGAUCGGGUUGCAGGUGUUUUACAAUCUAGGAGAGCUGAAGCAAGCUAUGGAGCAGUUGAUUGGCAAGUAUAAAGGUUUGGGAGUGAAGAGUAUCAGUGUGGCAUUGGAUAUGAAGGCCAUUUCGGGGUCGGUGGGCAGCGGGUUUGGCCCUGGAGGUAUUAGAGGGAGUGGGACGCCACAGAUUGGCGGCGGAGCUAAGGCCAGGGAUGGACUUUGGCAGAGAAUGGGGACGUGUAUGGAUCAGUUGCAUUCCAUCAUGGUGGCUGUGUGGCAUUUGCAGAAGGUGUUGUCUAAGAAACGGGAUCCUUUUACGCAUGUGUUGCUGCUUGAUGAAGUUAUUAAGGUGAGAGCAAAUGAUUCAAUGUGUUGCUUUUUAGUUCUUGGAUAGCUUUGUAUUUACUCUUAACUGUAAUUGUUUUCAAUAUGCCGAGUAAUAGUUUGUUUUGUUAUAUGAAAUGAGAGUGGAGGUGAAGAAAUGUAGGUGUAGUGGGGUGUGUAAAAUAUUAGAAACUGUAGGUGUAGUAGGGAGCGUAAAAUAUCAAGGACUGCGGGAUAGUUUAUUUGAUGAAGAGAGGUUCCGUGAAAUGGGGUUAAAUCUUCAAUGUCAAAAGAAGGAUAAACUAGGUGAUAUUAUACCGAGGGUAGAUUGGUAAGGAGCAUGAACAUUACUUUUAAUUUUGUGUUUUUGCUUCUACUUGCUUAGAUCAGCUACUAGCCAUAUUUGCUAAUGUAACAGUUGGGCGUGUAGUUGGAUAUCAACUGGACAUGGUUCACAUUACAUCAUACAUUAUGCAGCUCCUAGGAAGAUGAUAUAUCUUAGGUUGGCGUUGCUGAUGUCUGACCUAUACACCGUCUUAUGUUUUAAUUUGGUUUCUCAUCCUUUUUCCGCUCAUCUGCACUAAUUUCCGCCAACUUGAACAGUCUAUAUAACCAUGUGCCAGGGACUGUACAGACUGUUUCAAUAUACUUUGCAUUUUGGUUUACAAAGAGGUCAUUUCACUCAUUUGUUUUCUUUGUGUACAGUGUGUCAUUUUCAUACAGUGCUAUAUGAAGCUUGUCUGUUAGUAGAUCAUUUGUAAUGAUUGAUGUUCUUGCUGAUGAUUUUACUUUUUAUCCCAUCUAAGAUCGUUAAUUUGCUUACAUCGUAUUGUACGUCUCAGGAAGGGGAGCCUAUGAUAACAGAUAGAGUGUGGGAGGCCCUUGUGAAGGCUUUUGCCAACCAAAUGAAGUCAGCCUUUUCUGCAUCAACUUUUGUGAAAGAGAUAUUCACCAUGGGGUAUCCAAAGCUUUUUGCCAUGAUAGAUAACCUUCUUGAAAGAAUUUCACGUGACACAGAUGUGAAAGGGGUUCUACCAGCUAUUACUUCAGAGGGAAAAGAACAACUGGUUGCAGCUAUUGAAAUUUUCCAGACUUCAUUCUUGGCUCUCUGCCAUAGUCGUCUGUCAGAUCUUGUGAAUAAUGUAUUUCCUGUAUCCAGCCGUGGGAGUGUUCCCUCUAAAGACCAUAUAUCAAGAAUCAUUUCACGGAUUCAGGAAGAAAUAGAGUCUGUUCAGUUGGAUGCGCGCCUGACUCUUCUUGUAUUGCGUGAGAUUGGCAAGGUUCUUCUACUACUUGCUGAACGAGCUGAAUUCCAGGUAAUUCUUAUAGUUAUCUUGCCUAAAAUCUGACAUUUGUCUGCGUCUUCUUCUGAUUAGAGUAAGAUGUCCAGAGUUAGAUGGAAGGAGCUCAUUGUAUAUGGAAUCCAUUGUAGUUGCUCUAUUCCCUUAGUUCACAUUUCAUGUCUGAAGUAUACUCUAUAGGCCUGUUUAUACUAGUGGUCCCUUACUUUUCUCAUUGAUUAAGUUCAAAAAAAGCACAGAAACAUGAGAUGUAUGAUGUACUAGGUUUUCAUAAGCUUAUUCUGGGAGAUUUUUGGCGUAUUAAUCAAUCCCCAACAAAAGAUUGGUAGACUGGGUGUAUACUUUAGACAGUUAUGUUGUGAUCCUGUUAGUGUGACAAGUGAUCUUCAGGCAAUUGGGAUUUUGCUCAUUUAUAAAUAAUUUGAAUGACAGAUAUCAGCUGGUCCCGAAUCACGGCAAGUCAAUGGUCCUGCAACUCCUGCCCAACUCAAGAACUUCGUGCUAUGUCAGCAUCUCCAAGAAAUUCAUACACGCAUAUCGUCAAUGAUUAGUGGACUGCCCACUAUUGCCUCAGAUGUGCUGUCUCCGGCAUUAGGUGCAAUAUAUGGGGUUGCUUGUGAUUCAGUGACAACCUUGUUCCAAGCCAUGCUUGAUCGUCUUGAAUCUUGCAUCUUGCAAAUUCAUGAACAGAAGUUUGGUGUGCUAGGCAUGGAUGCUGCUAUGGAUAACAAUGCAUCACCUUACAUGGAGGAGUUGCAGAAGUGCAUUCUUCACUUCCGGAGUGAGUUCCUAUCCAGGCUGUUGCCUUCAAAAACUGCAACAGUGGGAGUAGAGACCAUAUGCACUAGACUUGUUAGGAGCAUGGCUGCACGUGUUUUAAUAUUUUUUAUCAGGCACGCUUCUCUUGUCAGACCCCUUUCAGAAUCAGGGAAGCUAAGGAUGGCUAGGGACAUGGCUGAGCUGGAAUUAGCUGUAGGCCAGAAUUUGUUUCCAGUAGAGCAACUUGGUGCACCAUAUAGAGCUCUUCGAGCAUUUCGGCCUCUCAUUUUCUUGGACACAUCCCAACUAGGAGCUUCUCCACUUCUUCAAGAUCUACCACCAAGUGUCAUACUUCACCAUCUAUACUCCCGAGGUCCCGAUGAAUUGCAAUCACCACUGCAAAGGAACAAACUAACACCUCUGCAGUACUCCUUGUGGCUAGAUUCUCAAGGAGAGGACCAGGUUUGGAAGGGUAUUAAGGCAACACUAGAUGACUAUGCUACACAUGUAAGGGCCAGAGGAGACAAAGAGUUUAGCCCUGUGUAUCCUCUAAUGCUUCGAUUGGGGUCAUUGUUGACAGAAAAUGCUCCUGAAACCCAAAAGCCUUGAUGUUUGUGCUCUUCCUGUAAGGUACUCACUUGAGAAGCAGGUAUUAGUCAAGUUGGUUUUUGAGGAAGAUGUCAAAGAUGGGAUAAUUGCAGAUACAUCAUAAAGAAUUAUACCACUUCCAUCAGGCAACUGUGAGGUACACAAGUUCUCUUUACUACUUGCGCUGCAUCAUCUUUCAGCCGAUCAUUUUGUUGUUCUUCAGGUUUUAGGUCUAUACUGAUAGGUAAAUUGUGAGGGCUUAAUAGCUAUUGAAUUCUGCUUGACAGCAUGCAGACUCCAGUUAAUUAAAAAUUCAUUGUAACUUUCCUUUUUGUAUCUAUUCUUUCUCUUCCUCACCCUUUUUGUGGUGAUUUAUCCUCCAUAUCAUGUAAAUUUGAUUUGCAUAUAGUCGAAUGUAAUGUUGCAUUUGGUGCUCAGAUUCUAUGACUUCUUAUUUCUUCAUUAUAUUACUCCACAAACUUUUGUAGCCACUAGAUUUUACUGUAAGCAAACAUUCCAUUCUGAUUAUCUGCUGUUUCAAGUUUGAGGUUGGGUAUUGUUUGAAAGAGUCCUUCUCUGGUACUCCGGAGAAACGACAGAAGAUUAGGAGAAUAAAAGAAACCCGGUCACGAAUUUGCUGUUAUCACUUAAAUUACUGCGUACAAAGAUGUUAGUUCUAUGGUCAUUAGUUGGUGGGUGGUACCAAGGCCUGUUCCAUUUUUUUGAAUCCUAAUUCUUAGAAAAACAAUGAGAUUCUUUUAAGAAUUAAAUUCAGUUUACCCCCAUGAGGUUUGGGAGUAACUUUAUGUUAAUCCCUAUACUUUCAAUUUCAUCAGUUUACCCUUUAAACUUUUGAAUUUUCCUCAAGCGUGACCAAAUGUCCUAUAUUCUGUCCAAAUCGGACGUUAACUGCUGAUAAUUUUAACCUUAACUGUGAGGCCAUUAUCUAGAAUUUAGGCAAAUCAGACCUUAUAUGUCCAAAUCGAAUCUUAACUGUUGAUAAUUAAAAGUCAAUUCAAACGGAAUAUGAGAAUUUAGGCACGGCAGACAGAAAUUAAAGAGUUCAAGGGGUAAAUUGAUGAAAAUAAAAGUGUAGGGACUAACAUGAAGUCACCCUCAAACCACAAGGGGGUAAACUGAAUUUAAUUCUUCUUUUAAUAAUAGUAAUAUGGGUAGAUGAAUUUCAAAUUGGCUGAUUUACUGGAAAGAAAUUAUACAGUACAAAGAUUUGUGUAGGUAAUGAAUGGUUUGAUAACAAGAUUAGUGAAAACAAGAAGGAUAUGGUACAGGGUUGGUCGGGAAAGUUGCUUAUAUGGCUAAUCUUUUGAAUUGGUAUAAUGCUAUAUAUGUUGCCUACAUUUUUGAAACUACUCUGCUAUCUUAUGUUUCCUGCAACUUAUUUGAUGUGAAAAAUGGCAUCCUCUUGGCAUAUUGUUGAAUGAAAUCUUCACAUUACAUCUAUAUAGGACCUUUGAAUCUGAAAAGAAUGUUUCAGAGCUAGAGAUAGACUUGAUGGUACCAUGUCCUAGUUCAACCAUGUAUCACCUGAAUCGGAUAAAUAAAAUGCUCCAAUUCAACCUCCAUUCAGGAACCCAUCACUAAGACUUGGACAGGUUAUUUGUGAGGAUAUUCUCCGUGGGAUUUCAACCUUUUGGUACCCUAUUUGGGAUUCGCUUCUUCAAAGGGUCGCUUAUCUUGAGCUAUUAUGUCUAGUAUUGUAUCAUCUGAUGUUUAUAUCUUCUUAAGAGUCGAGACCAAAACCCCAUUCAUGACCAUAAGUCAAGUUUAGUUAUUAAGCUAGGUUCGACUCUUUGUCACAAAAGCGAACUGAAUUGAAGCGUCUGUUUUGUCUGCUAUUGUUGACAUUGCUUCGCUGGGAACCUGAUACAUACAAACACUAGCAUACAGUCUCCCAGUGUCAUGGUGAUGACUUAUCAUCCACGUUGAUCAUACAAUUUUACUAUGCCAAAUUGCCAAUACAUGUCCUACACCUUAUAUAAUUUUCUAUUCAUUACAGCUAAUUCAAACAAAGGCAUAUUGUUUCCUGUUCAAACUUGUGGAAUUGCUUCUACUCAUGGUUACAGUGACACUUGGUUUCUGGUAAAUAUUACAAUGAAACUCUAAUCCUGGUAAUAUAAUUUUGGAAAUAUUUUUCUGGGGGAAAGCUUAUCUUGGUUCCCUUUUAGAUUGAACUUUGAUGAAAGGAGGAAAGUUUAGAACAAAUUUGCUAUUUCUCUAAAAACUUGAAAGUAUGAUACAUAACUUUUGGAGAAUGCUAAAGGUUCAUCCAUAUAAUCCUAACUAAGCAAACAAAAGGGUGACCUGCAUCAUGAAUAUAGGAGCUGUCAGGAUCACGAGGCUGCAGUAUUCCUGGGAGACCAGCUAGUUCUAUAAUCACCUAAGAAGAUGACCUUUUCAUUUCUUUAUUAAGUGAUCAUAAGAAAAUGACUUCCUUUGCUAAACAGUUCGUCUAUCUUCAUUGCUGCAAUGUGGCACACUGGUAUUUGAAGUAGGCAAAUAGUAUAAGACAGCCAAAGCCAAAAUCCCAGAUUUCUUAUGUGACACCUGAGAUGUGGACAUUGAGGCAUUCACACAUCACUGUUCUAAUGACACAUCUUAUUUCCAAUUUCUGCUUCAUAAAACAAGUAAACAAGUGCUAAAUUCCCAUUUAAUUAUUUCGUAUCCUUCUUUGUUUACUAUUCAUGAUUACUUGAAGAAGAACAAACAAUUAUGCAGCAUAUAUAAUUGAUUCUAAAUAGUUGGCGACGUGCCCUGAAUGCUCUUCUACCCUAUAUGGCAUCACAUACAGUAUCAUAUUAUUCUACAGUUAGCUUUAUACACCAAAAACUACCCUCUUAAAUUGACCAAUGUCUACAUCUGCUUCCAUGUAAAUCCAAACCCUGGCAUUUGAAUUGAGGUGUGAUGGGUCAUUCUCUGAAAAUGAGAUAGAGUAUGAUUUUAGUUUGGUCAAUAUAGAUUAUUCCUGUUAUGAAACUUUCUUUUCUAAUUUUUAAGAACCAACAUCAUUUUCAGCAUCUGUAAUUUUUGUGUCUUAUUCUGUUACCACCACCUUCAAAACAAUCUCCAUUGUUAGCCUUAAUAUUUAUAGCUCUUGAAGCAUCCGCUUUAGCAUAAUAUCUGGAGUUGAAUCCUAGGCAGGCAGCUAAGACAACUAAGUAGAAUUGUUAGAAACUAUGGGGAAGAAAGUAAGCCAAACAUCGGUGAAAAUAUCUAAGGAGAAGAAGGAGUUUAACAGUUUGAUUAGACUCUUGAGGCCUAAAGUCUACAUCACUGACUGCUCAAGCUUCAAGACCCUAGUGCAAGACCUCACCGGCAAUGGAAGCUCUAAUAUCUCAGUUACUGCUACCUCCUCAUCACACCCUCAGCAACAACACAAAGUACCAGUUGUAGAUGUUGAGGAGUAUCAAGUAGAGCCUGAGAGGAGUACUAGCAGUGUGGAUGUCUCAACUGAUGCAUCAUUUGAUUCUUCCGGGCUGUGGAACCAAGAAAUCUUUAUGAACGACCAAGAAUUGAACCAACUGUGUUACCAGAUGUACUCAGAUGCUAAUACAACAAAUAUUUUAGAAGGUUCAUCACCUUCGACAGCAGACCAAAUGGUAGAUAUGUUGCCACUUCAAGAUCUUGAGUCCUGGCUUUUGGGGACUGAACCAUUUGAGCCUUUCAACAUUAACGGUUAUGGUCAGAUUGAUCAAGAGGUCAGCAUAUUUGACUAUGAGCUGUCAGGGCUACUAUGAUCAGAUUGUUUGUUCUUCGAAUAUUAGUUCUGCACACAGUACAUUCUGCUCUAUUCAAAUCAGUACAUACAUAGGUCAUAGCUAUAUAUAGAUGUAUUUACGCCUGUAUAUUAAUUCUUUGUAUAGAGAGAGGCCCAUUUCUGCUUUUACAAAUUACUGUCUCUGGAAUUUGUUCAAUCUAUACUUUGUACGCAUCAGCUUUCGGUAUUAUUGGUGAUUAUUGAAUAGUUGUUCAUAGUAUACAUACCUAACAAGGGUCUGCAAAUUUAUAGGAGCAUCCAGCCUUAUUUCAUUCUCAUACGUUUUUCAAAUCUCUGUAUAAAAACACCUUAGUUCAUGCCACUAACUGAUGGAGAUUGACUAAUACCAGGCUGGUUUGGAGAAAGCUGAGGCUCAGUUUAAAUUUGCUUUUGUACCCUCACUUGAGGAAAAGCUAAGUAUCCGUUUUCCUAUAAUGUUUCAUUUGUGGUUUGGAAAACUUACCUAAGGUAAGUCGCCUGGCAGAAGCCACAACUUCCCUUUACUCCUGUAAUCCUGUUGUACUGAAAUGAGCAUUUGUUCCUCAAAAAAAAGGUUAUAUGAACAUUUGGCAGUGACUACAAUUUGCAGUGCUUUAAGAGUGAAAAAUGAAUUUACUUCUUUGCAGCUUCCAUUAUACUCUACGAAUAUACAUACAACUUCCAAAUCAUCAUGCAGAAAAACAUUGUAGCUAGCUGAGCGAUCUUAACUUAUGAAUGCCAGUGACAUAAACUUCCCUUCACCAAUAGUUGGCGCCUUGCUCGAAAACCGCUACCCACAGACUAAUAGGGGUACCUUACACAAAGGGCAUAAAAACCCCUUGACUUGCAAAAAAUGAAAAUAGUUGCAGUCUUUUUUGUGUGUGUGUCAUGUUGGAGGGAAGACACCGGCUGCUGAGCUUGGAUGGCUGCCUAGACUCCGUUGACAUUGCAGUCUAUCAGUAGAGAAAAGAAUGAUGGGAAGUCUAUCAGUCUGUUGGUUUAAUUAGUAUUCUCCACAGGUUUUUGUGUUCAGUUUUUUUUAGUAACUUAAAUUUUGUCCUUAUUGACUUAACUUUUAUCUUUUUAUGCAAAUGAUGAUUGAAAUAAAAAAUGUGAAUGUAGAUUACAAUUUGAGGAGUGUGGAUUUCAUAUCCCUUUCUUGUUCGAUCAUUUCAUUUCCUCUAUUGCUUUAUAUGAUAAUAAUGAUAUUGGCCUUCUCUGCGAUUAGGGUUUUUACUAUUCCACAUAAAAUGGAUGAUCUUGAAUAGAAGGUGUUUGUUGAAACGUUCAUAUGUGUUAUUAGUUUCAGCCAGCAGUUGAGGAAUCAACAAUUGCUAAAAUUGAAUCAAAUCAUAUAUUCAUAUGCAACAAAAUCAACUUGUCAAUGAAUAUUAUGUUUUUGAGUUGGAUCUACUAGCUUAAGUUGUAAGAGGAGGAGGAAAGUAUGUUGGGUCAGAAAUGCUUCUUUAACCAUUGGAAACCAAAAACGAAAGGAAAGAUGCCUUCCUGGAAUAGUUUAAUAAGCUCCCUAGCUACUAGUAAACGAGGGCCAUCUUGGUUCCAUUAUUGGUUUUUAAGUUUGAACUAGUCAAUCCUAAAAUAUAUUAUAUUGACUAAAAAAAUUUCAUCUUCUUCUGCAGUAACUCUGGGGUGAUCUCCAGAGUUUUGUUUCAGUUUUGAUUGGAGAUAGUGGCAAGGAUAUGGACUUUCUCAGUUGACUCCUGGGAUGGUUCUCAGAUAUCAGAAGUAUCAUAUCAACAGCAAAUCAAGCACAAAUUCAUUAGUCUUUUGCCUACAACUUGGAUUGUACGUGUAUGUUUUCUAUAUCUCUUCUUCACUGUAUUUUCUGCUUUGUUUUGUGUACUGGUUCAUUGUUGGUUGAGCAGUUGUUGAUUGGAUUUGCUUUUAUUUGUUGACAACAAAUUGCCAAUUAGUAUUGCCGGUACUUGAUAAUGAACAAUUCAAAACACAUUGUACAGAUAAAACACACUGAAUAAAACACAAAUGAAGAACGAAAUAUAGAUAGAUGGUUGGAUUACAAAAUUAAGUCGCACACAGAAUAGAACGUACAGAAGAUAAGCAUAACAGAAACAUUCAAGUUGAAGUCAUUAGAGCACAAAGCAACCAAGUAUGCUAGGCGGUGAGUGAGGGCCUGGGUCGCCAUGGUAUUCGAAACCGCAAGGAGGCUGGAAUUCAACAGUGAUACAAUUGUUCAUGUCCUCGUUCACCUUGCAGAUGUCAAAUUCAAACUGAAAAAGUAUGGCAGCACUACGCAAGAUAAGAGACCCAUCUUCAGAUGUUUCAAAGUAGUCAUCAUCUAUGUCUCUGGGAGAGGAGUUGACAAGGCAGACAUUGUUUCCCCCUAGAUGGAAGAAAUGAUACUCGUCUGGGUAAGGGAACUCAGCUGGCAGAUUCAUCUCCAAAAUUUCAGUGAUAUCUUCUUGGUCUUCAUCCAAGGACAUAAGAUAAACUAGUAGAUUAGUCACGGAGGGGGGCACCCGCUUGAGAGUAAACAGUAACUUUCUGUGAGGGUUUUGUUCGAGGUCCAGCACUAGACCAUUGCGAAAUAAUGGAAAUGGAGUGAGGACUCUCUUCCAUUUUUGUUUCUGAGGGUCUUGGGCUGCAAGGUCAAAGCACCAAACAUUUUGAGGCGGCCGUUCCUUAUUUCUGGACCAUGAACAGUUGUCUAGGUUGGACACAAACAACUUGCUGCCUGCAAGUGCAUAAGAGGAGGGGCUGCCACGAAAAGGUUUAGGGUAUGGCGGCAGAGCCAACCAAGUAGCCCGAUCGGGGUCAAAUACCUCGAAAUUAUAACGUCUAGGCGUACAGCUCAGAACGUAGAGUUUGCCAGCAAACUCAACCAUCAGCAGUCUUUCUUUCCCUCCCUUUAAAGUCUGGGGCAUCAUGAAUAUUUCUUGAUUGGGGUCAUGGAUAUCAAAGACAUAAACACUGUUGCAAGCUGAGCAUCCUGUUAGGUGCAAAACCGCCGGCAAAAAAAAUCUUGGAGCCCAAAACACCGCAACCCCCACAGAUUGGGAGAUCUUCCCCGGUCAUACACGCCACUUGCCGUGCUAUUUUUUCCACCAUCGACGAUGGUGGCAUCAGCAAUUCGCGAAGAUUGAUGGACCGAAUAACAUAGGCAAGCUUUAGCGUGUCUCCGAAGGUUAUAGAUUCAACGCUACCGAGGUACAGAGACUUAUCAAGAAAUUCUUCUUUCAAUCCUACACCGCCAUGAAUCAUCUGAUUCUCCUCCAUCUUCACCAAUUUCAGAAUAAUCGGAUUGUUUAAUUAUAAUAAUGAAGCAAAAUUAGAAUAUAAAACCAACCAAAAGCAACGAUCGAACCCAGAAACGCAAACCUACACCAGACUGGUUCAGAGAGUUCUGGUCGUCGAUAAUCCUUGCUGAUGUCACCGCUUGAGCUUUGAGGAUUAGGUUUCCGGCCUUUUUAUAGAGGUCGUCAACGGGCUAGCAGCCCAUUUGAACAUUGUUUUAGAGGUUUUUUCUUUAGGGAUAAUAAGUUUGAACUAAAGAAAGGAACUUUUCUUUUGAAACAUGGACAUGAAUUCGAAGCCUUUACUACCAAACUGGAAAAUGGUGAUUACAACAUGACCAGCUCAUAAGGGCUAAGAGAACGAAGUCAUGCUAGAUAGCCUUAGAGCAACUUAAAAGAAACUAUCAAGGAGUUCAAAUGUGAAAUCCACACACCCCAAAUUAUAAUCCACACACCCACUUUCUAUAUUUAGUAAUCAUUCUCAUAUGAAGACAAAAUUUAAAUCACUACAAUUUGAGGUGUGUGGAUUCACUUCCCAUAAAAAAAUAAAUCAACAAAACUAGAAUGUUGGGACAUGCCCCAAGGCCCCUAACCUUCUCUAGUUAUCCAACCCGGUACCAUCCUACACAUAGGAGGUAUCCCUGGGUUCUUCCACCGCCAUCGAACUAGCCGCCGGCUCCGGAGACAGUUCAUGCAAACCAUCAAUGACCAAGGCAUGUUUGACCGAAACCUGGACCUUUUUCCUCUGCUUCAUACAUUAGCACUAAUUUGCAGCUUCCAAGGGUGUGAAUGUCCUCCUUCUUCGGCUUAUUCUUGGAACCAAUCGGCCACUCAACUUUGCGCUUCUUUGGCAGUGAGAUGACAAGAGAUCCGACAAAAUUAGGCAAUGACAGCUCCAGGAUUGGGUCUAGUUCGGUCGAUUGGGCCUCCAUAAGAUCAACCGAGCCUCUAGGUCUCUUUCCCAAGUCUAAUCCCAUUAACACAAUUGCAUCGUGCUUCUUCCCGGAAAGAACAAGAACAUUUACCGUCAUCUUUCGCAGCACCGGCGGAGCCGAGGCCAGCUGAGCAAACACCACAAGGCUAGGCGCUCGGACCAAAGCCUGAGAGCGAGAACCAGAAGCAGAGGGGUUCCCAGUAUUGGUUGCCCAUGAGAGAGCAAAAGUGUGAGAUUAGGGUUAAGGUUUCCCUGCACCCCUCCACUCAAAAUCACCCCCGCAGACACGUCUGAGGGCCCUUGAUCGACAACCAGAUUUAUGCUUUAGCAACAAGUCCUACAAAAUCUGCAAACUCUUUCAUCUUUGAAAGUUAAUGACACAUAAGUCAUAUCCUUACCUUCUCUAAAAUCAAAUCGCACUUGUUUGACAAGAGAGUCGAGGUUUGUGCUCCAAUCGAACCCUAGCUCGUGCAACCUAGACAAGGUUUGGAUGAUCGUGAUUGAGGAUCUGGCCGAGAGUAGCACCAACCAUGUACAAAGCUUCCUUCGUCAUAAGGUCCGGUGGGAGACUAAAAAUUUCAACCCAGACCGGGAUAGUUUUGAUCGGAACCAGAUUGGUGUUCAUCCUUCCAUCAUAGUGAGCAAGAGCGAACAUCAAUUUGCCAUAGAUACAUGGACCUCCCUCCACUAUAUGUGUAGAGUAUGGACCCCUUCCAUGAUUAUUAUGGUAUCACAUAAUGAUCAUGUGUAGAUACGAUGUAUAUCUUAUCCCGCCAAGCAUAAGCAACAACCUCGUAGACCGUGCUCCAGCCACAGCGGGUCUCAUUUGUAAGUAUAUGACAAUCAUAUUCAACUUGGAAAUUAAAGAGGAUUCUAUCCAGAUCAAGAAGAAGAGACGUUUCCUGGUCCAACUAGGAGAGGCAAAGUCUAAGCCGGUGUUACUGCAGUAAACUUGCAAUAACCUUGAUCUCGAUCACCAAAGGUAAAAUGCAUCUCAUGCAUAUCAUGGUUUUAUAAUUAAUGAGAAAUUUUUAGAUGCUACAGGAUGACCACAUGACAGUAUGACAUGGUCCUACAUUCCAAUCAAAUAUUGACACGUGGAUUUAUUACAAUAAAAUAUAAACUAAGGUUUUUUAUUUUUUGUGAAAAGAUCUUCAUGGGUCUUUGUUGAGUUUGGACUAGGGUUUAGGGUUUAGGGUUUAGGGGUUAGGGUUUUGGGUCUAGGGUCUAGGGUUUAGAGUUUAAAAAGCAACAACAAACCCAAAAUUGUCUUUGACAAAAAUAUGUGAUGUAAUUUUUCCUUAGUAAAAUCCAAGUGUCAAUAUUUGAUUGGAAUGUAGGACCACGUCAUACUGCCACGUGAUCCUGACAGGAGGACCACGUGGCAGUAUGACAUGGUCCUAUAUUCCAAUCAAAUAUUGACACGUGGAUUUAUUACAACUAAAAUAUAAACUAAGAUUUUCUAUUUUUAUGAAAAGACCUUCAUGAGUCUUUGUUGAGUUUGGACUAGGGUUUAGGGUUCAGGGUUCAGGGUUUGGGUUUAGGGGUUAGGGUUUUGGGUCUAGGGUCUAAAGUUUAUAGUUUAAGGUUUAAAAAGCAACAACAAACCCAAAAUUGUCUUUGACAAAAUAGGUGAUGUAAUUUUUCCUUAGCAAAAUCCAAGUGUCAAUAUUUGAUUGGAAUGUAGGACCAUGUCAUACUACCAUGUGGUCCUCCCGUAACGUUGAAAAAUUUCUCUAUAACUGAUUGUGAAAAAGAUUGAGUUUCAUUGAGAUUAGAUUCGUUAAAAUAUCUUUGAGAUGUUUUAGGAAGUUUCAUAUAUAUCUCUUAGGAAAAUGGGUUCCCAAAUCAUAUCUGUUGCUAACUGAUUUGGUUUAGAAUAAGUUUCCUUGUGUAUCUCAAUAAAAGAAUCAGUGGGGAUUUGAUUGAGGGGGAGAUCUUAUCUCCCUCUAUAUACACAUAUAUUGAAAUACACCUUGAAACUAUUGAGUUUUUAUUUUUAUUAUUGAUUGAUACUUCUCUGCUACAUAGUUUGUAGAAAUUGCUUGAAAAACUCAUUGCCAUUCUGUCAUCUUUGUAUCAUUGCAUCUGUCAUUCUAUAGUGAUCGAGAUAAGUGGUGUGUGACUCAAGAAGGCGUGUUCAGUUCCUUCAUACCAGUGAUUGGUUCACAAAAGAAUAGAAUAGGUUUUUUAGUUGUAACGAUCAAGUUAGUUUGUAUACUAAUAAAUGUGAUUGUGUUGAACAUCACUGCUUGAUAAAGACUGUAAUUCUAUUUGUUCUUAGUGCAUUAAUUCAAGUGUGGACUACUAUAAAGUCUCGCAGUGAAGUUUCCUUGAGGAAAUUUUAUAUGUACUGUAGUUAACAAAUGUGUUAUGUUGUUCUUUCAAUUUCUAUUGUUUAAGACUUGGGAUAAAUAAGAAAAGAGGUCCAAUUUAUACUUUCAUCAUCUCUGACAUAGAUUUGGUAGACCGGCAUCCAGGCUUCUUCGUCAUAGUGAAGGAUCGUGAAUUUGAAAGAAUCGACCUUGUUAGUUGUUACCUUAUGUGUAUUGACACGACCCGCCCCAAAUUUCACCCUGAAACCCGGAGUAAGUCGUGCGGAGACCAUCUCUAAGGAAAAUUUUACCGAAAAUGAUUGGUAAAACCUCCCUUGAACAUGGACAACCCUAACUCGAAAAUUUCCAAUUUACACUCUUACUACAACACGUCCAAACUUCACAUAAAUAUCCAGCUAAUAAAAGCUAAUAUUAUCCUUCAGAGAUUCUAAACAUCAAACCAACAGGCCGAGCACACUACCGAAAUAAUAUACAACAAUCCCAAAGUAUCCAGAGCUACUAAACUCUAGCGGAAGCAUGAAAACACAAGUAGGUUGAACAGGUAACGUACUGAUGAAAACUGGCAGAAAUGCGGGUGACUAUGCCUCGCCUCCUACUAGAUCCAACCCGAACUCUGCAGACUGGGCAUUUUAAAACGAAGGGCCCAGGGGAAAAACAUUUAAUAACGUUAGAGUGAGUGGACAAUAAUAAAUUAAUAAGAAAAAUAUUUCUGUUUCCCCAAAUCCAUUUCUAAGAAAAAAUCGAAUGCAUGCCGCAAGCGAUAAAACUUUUAUCUCAUAAAAUAUUGAGCCUCUCAGACUCUAUAAUAUAUGUAUGUAUUUACACACGUCCAUACUCCCUAUAUAAAUUCAUGGGUCUAUAUAGGGCUACUACGCUCGCGUCCAACGCUCACGUCACGCCUUAAUGCGGUGCUACACUACGCCAUUAAGGUGGACAGACGGGUGUAUAAAUAUGUGUCCAUACCCCAUAUGUGAAUUAAACACUCAUAUAAGGCUACUACGCUCACGUCCAACGCUCACGUUACACCAUAAUGAGGCUAUAUGCUACACCAUUAAGGUGGACAGACACAUAUGGCUAGCUAGCAUUUUAUAUACAUACUCUCUCAUAAAUACAUAUUUAUAUCCACCGAAUAUCCUAUUUUCGGUAACUCUCCAAGAGAAUUAAAAUUCGUCAAAUUAAAAUGACGUCAAAAUAUUCCGCAACAAUUAUUGUUCAACCAUGUACUCUAGCAUGCAUUUUAUUUAAAACAAAAGUCCACUCACAAAUUAGGCCUAAGCCUGAUGUCGAUCUGGGGCCUCGUCUGCUUGAGCCUCCUCACGUCCUGUUCCAAAUAUAAUAUUAAUUUCCCAACUAACAAUCCAAUAUUUAAUCAAAAUAGGCAAAAUUACCCGAGAGCCAUAAAUACGCUCAUCAUUGCCUAACUUCGAUAUUCUUAAAUCGGAACACUCCCAAACCGCGGCGGCGGCCGGAGGCCGAUUCCGGCGACCUCCGAUUUCUAUGAAAUUUUGACAAAAUAAUCCUCUCAUCAUGCUCUACAACUUUCCUAACUAGCACAAACACCAAUUCCAAGCCUAACUAGGGUAAUCGACUAAAAACAUCAAAAACGCCAUAAAACUUCCACCUCAAAUUCCUCUUUACCUAGCUCAAGAGGGAGUGAGCUGUUUGGAGGGGUUGCUGCACGGGAGGAGGGUUACAAAACAAGCCAAGGAUCGCCGAUUUUGGUGGCCGGAGGAGGGAGCUCCGGCGAGAGAACCACCACGGUAGCUAGCGGCUCCGGGCUCACGGUGGCGCUAGGGGGAGCUGCUACCGGCCUAGAAUGGAAGCUGGGUCGGGGGCAGUCAGUUUGGGACCGGAGCGGCGGCAGAUGGUGGCCGGACGGCGGCAGGAGGACGGCCGGAAAACCGGGCAGUGGGAGGAAGAAUUCGGGAGAGAGAGAGAGAGAGAGAACCGGGAAGAAAAGAGAGAAGAGAGAAAAUGGGUUUGGGCCUCAUACCCCAAACUGAUCCAAGCUUAUAACAACUAAAUUCCAAAAAUAAAACACCCCGAAAAAAUAAUACCCGAAUAAAAAUUACCUUUUACUAGCUAAAAUUCACCAUUUUUACCGUCAUCAUAUUUUCUCCCACGAAUAAUUCCCCGAAAUUAAUCGUCCCUCAAAACACCUCUAGGGACCAAUUAAACUAUUACCUCAAUGACGGAGACGGUAAAAUUCUUAUUAUAAUCAAACUAGUAAAUAAGGUAAAAAUAUAAGGAUCGGGAUGUGACAUGUAUUCUAAUUUUUAUUAUAAUUCAAGUGACUGAUGUGAGCAAACUUGCAUUAUUUAUAGUUGUCAAAAACUAAAAGGGCAUUUAAUGACUGCUGUAAUAGAGAAAGUUGACCAACACAGACUCACUAUGUCUUCCGUGGAACAUUGAGAUUCAAAUCACUGAAUUUCAGAAGAGUGCGUAUAUCGGUGAUUGGGAUUCUCAACGAGAGAGAGAGAGAAGAAAGGAGAGAGGAGAAAAGGAUUGAAGAUGGGAAGUUAUUUGGUGUGAAGUCACAGAUUGGGGUGAAGCUUCUUUCAGCCCUCAGAUCAGCUUCAUUUUGAUCCAACGGUCAGUGGUGGAGUGUCCCUUUCUGUCCCGUAAAAACUAUCCCGCAGGUGAGCGGGCCUGAGUAUAUAUAAUAGUAAGUGCGUAUCAUCACACAUAACACUCUUUCUUUCACUUUGAAACUCUCCGUCGCACAAAACGCUCUAUCAUCGUUGCUAUAAUUAUGGCAUGGAGCUGCCGAUCCAAGCCGGUCUUUCUCCUACAGCUGUGCUUAGUUUUUUAAUAUUUGCGAAUCGAAUUGCAGGUCUGCUGAUAGUUACCUUAUUUCUAGUCGAGUGAAGAUCCCAAAUAUGUUUUUUAAUUUCGAGUGUUUGUAGUUUCUGUAUAACUGUUCGAAAUUUGUGAUCUUGGAUUCUGUUAUGGUGAAUUAAUCAAUCAAUGACUUGAAACAUGAAUUGAAUUUAGCUAGAUGUUAGCUUUGAGUGGUUGGGUCCAUGUUAAACGUGAUUAGGGCUGGUUUUGUGGUUAAAUUGAUCGGAUUAGUGCUGUGAGGUUAAGGAAUUUUACCAUGAUUUGGACUUAGUAAAGCUUAUAAGCUUUGAAAUUUCAUAAGAUGAUGUAAAUUACUUCAUGUUGUUGUUUGGCAUGCUCAUACGCUAUGGUGAAGGAAGAUAUGCUUAAGUUGUGGUUUUUGAAGAAGGGUAAUGAGUGUGGAUAGAAACUCCAUUUGUUUCGUUGAGAGUAAACGCUAAAGCCGACUGGCAUUGAGUGGUGAGGAGAGGGUAUUGAUGUAGUGAAUUUGGGGAAGAAAGUAGUGCCAAGAAUACGUCUGGUGGAAUUUUCCCGUCAUUGUUCAUUGACAAGAGAUAUCUAGCACCUGCCCGCAAUAAGACCACAUUAUUUUCAAGUCCUCGGUCAAGUUAUCAAACCUAACACAGGUUUGUAGGAUUACUCUACACACUUUGAUCAUCAAUAUUGACUAUUAAUGUUUUCCUUUCUUUUUGAUCCAAGUAAAAGGUUCUUCUAUGGUUGCGUCUCAUUAUAGAUCCCCUUACUGUAUACUUUGUAUAUUAUAAACUCAUAGCUCAUGUCAGUUAUUGAAUUUUCUAUGCAGGUUUGGGGGUGAAAGGGUUCGGUCUUCAUGGAAAAAUAUCAAAUAUCAAAGUCAUACUAAAUGGUGGCCAAAGUGUUCUCAUUGUAUCCUAAAUCUUCUUUGAUAUGUUGAUUUUAAUACAAAAUUUCACAUGAGUGUGUGUUUCUAGUGUAUUAAAAUUUCAUAGAUAUUUAGUAUAAAAUGCUAAUUCAAGCCAUAAUGUACCCCUGGGGACUCAUUUAAUUGAAGUGUCUGCAAUAGAUUACUUCUUUUCUCCGGUAAGACUCAUUUUCUAUUGAAUACCUUUCCUUUUGUACUUGUCAAAAUGAAAUGACCUCUGAUGGGACUUGUCACUAAAAUGUUUAGGUCCGAGUUGAUGUUAGUGCCAGAAACCCUGGCAAGGUUCAGGCAGCACUGACUGAGAAUAGGAGGGGUCUACUUGAAUUUGUUUUAGAGCCACUCAAAGAGGAACAAUAUUAUGAGGUUGGUAAAUCUCAUUCAACAUAAUAAGUUCACUAUUUCUUAUUCUCAUGAAUUUUUAUGAUCACAAAUAAGGGAACCCUUCAACAUUAUGUCUAUUGUAAAGAGCCCAAUGGGUUUGAUGGUUAGAUUUAUGGUGGUUGUUGUGUUUUUGAUGCCCAAACUAAUGGAAACAUAUGGGUAAGUAUUCUAUGCUCCUACAUGUUUCUAAAUUAUGUUAUGGGCUUCAGACUUAGAUUUCAUCGUGUCAAAAUGACUCCACGGGGACCGGCAUGCUGAUUCUCUCUUCAUAGUUUGCAGGGCUCAAUCUCAAGUUUUUUGAUUUUGAACUGUCAAAAAUGGGAAAACUAGUAUUGCACAAUAUCUCGUUUUAUAUGAGAUAUUCCCGAGACACAUAGUUUGAUAAUUAUUACCUUAUUUUUUCUUUCUGUUCACUAAUAUAAUCAUGAAAAUCUUAUGAUUAUUUCAUACUUAAAAUCUUUUCAAAAAUGAUAUGAGCAUUUCUUGUUUAAAUUGUGAAGGGAACAUGUGGCUUCCUCCACUCCUUAGAUGGUUUUGACUGCCACAUUUCACUUCUCUGGGGUCGGUCUGCAGUUUUUGUCUUAAAUCAUGCACUUUAAUCCUCCCAAGGCUUGUCUAUGCAUCAUAUUAUCUUGCUUCAUAAUGCUCGUGCACUCUCCAUUUUAGCUCACAAUUGUUGGAUGCUAUAUGUUCAUAUACUUAUGCAAUCAACUCUCCUUUUAUGCAAUAGAUCCCAAAGAAAUGAGGCGAACUCAAGAAGCAAUGGGAAACGGGGGACUGGCAAGCAUGUUACCUAGUGGCUGGUGCUGCUGUGAGUUAAAAAGUUGAAUAGAAAUACACAACCCUCUUUGCAGAUAGAGCACUUAUGUUUUCUAGAUCAGGAUUAUGCCCCGAGGGUUUUGUUUCAUUGCAGCAAAACUCCAUAAUAGAAAUUAACCUGCUGUUGUAGAAUUAUUAUUCUUUGAAGCCAAGAAAUGUGAUGGUAUUACGCUGACAAUACCUUUUUGUUUUUGUAUUUGUCUAUUAGUGUUAGGACAUGGCCCUUUAGUGUUAACUUCAUUUCUACGUUCCUGAUGAACUCAAACUGCUCAUAAAUAUAUUAUCUCACGGGAAUCAGUUUCACGACUUUUUCUUUGAUCGGAAUUUCAUGACUUCAUCGAAAUUUCAUGACUUGAUCGGAUAGUCUAUUGAAACUCAAACGCAACUCCGUAUAUAUCAUGUCUUUAGCAAUAAUGAAAAAUAGCUCUCUAUUAGCCAUAAGUUAGACCAAUUCAAUAAACAACAAAAUCUAGUUCAUUCAUAGCUUGUGUUCAACCAAUGACCAUAAAAACAAAUAAGUAACAACAUUGUGCAUUUGUGCUAAUGAAAUACAUGUGAUAUGAAUCACUUCCAUAAUGGCCUGGUAAUUGGCUUUUGUGACUUGUUUCCAGUGCUUGGUCCCUUUAUAUUUUGAAAGUGGGUUGUGAAGAUGAUGUUGGGACAACCAAAGUUCUUGAAAUUGGUAGUGUUGGUUGUGAAGAUGAAUAACUAGGGUUAGAUGAAGCACCAGUAGUGGAUAUUGAUAGGCUCCUUGGAUUUGGAGGUCUCUAGACCUGGAAAUACUAAUAUCGUCAAUAUAUGUCUUGAAUAUUACACAAGAAAUAUCACACUUAUGAGAUUCCCUCCAAAAUAUCACAAAGCAAACAUGCAUACACUGAAAUUUGAUCAUAAAACAAAGUACCAAGCUCAUUCAAUUCAUCCCAGCAAAACCACAUAAAUUUCAAACUGAAACACUAGAUAAUAGAUAAUGGAAACGAAGAAUGAAUGAAGAAUGAUUUAAAUUGAACCUCAGAUGCAUUCAUAGACUUCUUAGCAAGCUCAAUGGGGCAAGUUCUUAUGUUAUGGUGCUCUGAACAACAUGUGUUGCAUGAGGAUGUCACGUAGGAACUCUUAAGCAUCUUAGUUGUGUCAGCCAUAGUAGCCCCAACAUUUGGAGCUGGUGGUUCCUCAUCUUUCUCCCUCCUCCUAGCCAUUUUUGGUCAUCCAGGUUGCCUCCUAAAUAGGGGAGGCUGAACAGGAGCAUGAAUCUCGGGUCAUAGUUCAAUUCCAGAAACAUGAUUGAUAGGAUGUGCAUAUGAAUUAAGGUAUGUUUUCUUGCUGUAACAUUCAUCCACAUAGUAAAUGGGUUCAUGUCCUCUACGAAAUAUGCAACAAAUGGCAUGAGGACAAAGAAUUCCAGACAUCAUCCACCUUCUACAUGUGCAAGUCCUCUUAGCCAAAUCAACGGAAUGCUUUGAAGAAAGAGCACUACCAAUUCUAGCAACAACUUCAAAGAUAUGGUUUGUAGAUCUAUAUCCAUAGUAUUCUCUAGCCCUCUUUGCAUUCUUUGCAAUUAGUUUUUGGAUCCUUGGUCCUACAUUGACUUUCCAUUUCAUCCUAGCAACCCUUCUAUUUGUUAUUCUUAUCAUUAGAUCUUGUCUCAACUGCUCAAGCAUCACUAACAUAGACUUAUCCCUGCAUGGAACAAUUGCAGCAUUGUAGGACUCGCAAAGGUUAUUGAGCAUCAUAUCACACUUGUAUUCAAUCCCAAAAUGUGCCAUACUCCAGUAACCAGGAGUAUCAUGAUGAUUCAACUAGUCAAUUCCCUUAUUAGAAAUAUCAGUCAUGUCUUUCAUAUGUCUGUUGAACCAAAUUAUAGUAGAAUCUCUUGCUGCCACCCAUAGUAGAUUUUUAAAAACUGGACCAGGGUUCUUCUUUUUGAAGUUAUUGUGCAGAUGACGCGCACAAUGCCUAUGUUCAGCCUCUGAUACUAUAUCAGCUACUGCGUCUAAUAAUCCGUUUUGCUUGUCAGACAUAAACAUAACACCAUCAAUCUUUUUCCCUGUAGCAGCCUAGUCAGCAUUUACAGCGGCUUGGUCAGCCUUUUUUCUCGCAGCAGCAGUUGCAUGUUCUUUCUCAACAACAGUUGUAUGUUCCUUCUCACCAGCAGGAGUUUGGUCCUUCUCACCAGUUGGGGCAUGAUCCUUCUCACCAGUAGCGCCCUGCCCCUCCUAACCAGCAGCGGUGUCCUCCUUACCCUAACACAUGUAUUGGGUUGCUUCACUUUAUCAUCAACUUAAUCAAACAUGUGAACCAACAUCGAUUGCGCCAAAAAGAAAUGCUCUUGAGAAAGAAGGGCUCAUUGAGGUUCAUUUUCCAUGAGAGAUGCAACGUUGGUUCACAUUUUUAUGGAAGAAGAAUCUUAUCGGUGACAUGAACGGUGUUUUGAGGUGAUAUGUAUAUUUUUAUACAUGUUUUUAUAUCUCAACUUCAUUUACAUGUUUUAUUUGUUGUUGUAGAACUAUAGAACUGUACAAGAGUUCAUGCAUUAGAUGCCUUUGCAAUAUAGCUUUAAUUAAGAGAUGUUUCAUGGCUUCAUUACCAAAAGUCUUCUAUGCAAAACAUAAUUUUUAACAUCAUUUAUUCAACUCUGUGCAGAUUUGACAACAUCUAUGAAGGAGCCAUCAACGCAUAUUUGUUCUCUUGAACUCUUUAUGCUUUUUGACUUCUCUUCUAUAUAUGUNNNNNNNNNNNNNNNNNNNNCAUGAAAGGCAGCCUCCUCCUCUAUGGUUCACCUUUGUGUAGUCCUCCUCGGCUUUGAACAAUCUGCAAGGGGAGCAACAUGGGGCUUCAUCAUCAGAGAAUUCGGCUGUUUCCGCCACGGGGUUAGUUUUGGAAACUUCCCCGGGGGGAGUGUUCUCCUGCAUCAAGAAUCCAACAGUUUCACAUGAAAAAACUAUAAUUACAAAGUGACCAAUGUGAAGUACUAAUUAUUGAUAUAACUUAAAUACAUGAUGCAUAUAAACGUCAAAGUAUGUAUUGAACUCAUCUGAUUUUUUAUGGCUUAGGUGGGAAAUCUUAAGGUUGCUUAGAGGAGUUAUAACCACUCACAUUGUUAGAGGAUGAAGAUGAGCAGGGGAUGGGGUGCACCUCCUGUAAGGAACAAACAAUCGAAGUCACCGAACACUGAAAAUCAAAAAAAAGAAAAGAAAAAACAAAUAAAAUGAAAGGGAGACAAAUCAAUCAGAAGAAAAUCAAACAAAUUGAACAUAUUACCUCAUGGGAAUCAGUUUCACGACUUUUUCUUUUAUCGGAAUUUCUUGACUUCUGACCAGAUCAUGGGUUUUUUUUAGUAUUCAAAACACGAAAAUACAAUUUUGUGUGAAUAUUGAACGAAUUUCAUACCUGAAUUGCGAUUUGGAGUGAUAGUUCAUUUAGUCACCGUUUGAAAAUGUAACUAAAGAAAUUGGACGAAUUUUGAAUCCUUAGGGCUCAUUAUUCUAAAACAGGUGUUGAUGUAGUGGAUUAUGCGGGUUAAUCUCUUGCAUCUACAGAUGUUGUCAAUGGUUUAGAGAUAUUGAGACACAAGGUUUAUAAUGAUUCACCUUGCCAUCGGUGGGCAAGGCUACAUCCAAUUAAGAUUCUACCACUACUAGAAAAAAAAAUGCUUAAGCGACGAAUUUUAUCAAGACAAUCACUUAAGCGACGAAAAUAAAAUUUUUCGCUUAAGUUGUCAUUUGAGAGACGAACACAAUUUCUCAUUGCCUAAGUGAUCACUUAAGCGACGACAUCUAUAAAUCGUCUCUUAAGUAGAAAAUUUAAGCGACCAAAGACAUAUUCGUCUCUUAAGUUUAAACUUAGGCGACGGAAUAACUAUAUUUUGUCGCUUAAGUGCCUAUGCAUAAAAUUUUUCAAGGAGCACGAGCAUGUAAACUAACUUUUUUUUCCAUUAUUUUUUUUUUGAUGAGCUAAUGGAGUAACCAAUAAUAGGCCGGACUGUAAACGUUAACGGUUCAAAAAACGGAGUUACGAAGAAUUGAUUAUAAACGUUUUUGUUUCGUAAGAAUUUUCAUUUUAGAGUUGACUAACGUAAUCAAAGGCUUAACGAACUUCAAAUUGAUCAAAAUUUGUUUUACAUACAUAUCUUGUCGUAUUAAUUAUAUCUAACGGUCUUUUUGUUCUAAUUCAAUAUUGCUAAUAUACUUGUUUCAUGAACAUAACACAUACAAACACUUUAGUUAUAGCACUUUGGUCCACAUAAACUAGUUAGAACUUCUAUUGAUAUUUUGUAUUUAAAUUUUAAAUUUUUUUCGUCGAGUAGAUAAAAUAUGCUUCAUGAAGCUUACGCACUUAUAUUUGGAGAAACAAAUUUACGAAAAUUAUUUCACGAUCGUUUUCAUUCCUUUAACUAAUUAUGAUUAUUAGUAAAUUACCAUGAUCGAUUGAAGAAUAAAUCAAACCGAAUUGUGUUUGAUUUGUGUUAAGUUUGUUUUUAUUUUGAAACAUAUUUCUAUAAAUUGACAAGAAUCAAAAUGAUGUAUAAUAUCAAUAAUUAUGGUAACCGAUGAAAGAAAAUUAUGCAACUUUUUAUAGAAUUUGUAUUAAAUGUAUUUUUAGUAUAAUGUUGUAAACUUUUAUUGCAUUUAUUUAAAAAGAUUUGUUAUUAAAUAUGAGUGAUUUAUCAUAAUAAUUUCAUUCCAUUCGUAUUAAUUUUUUAUGGAAAACUAGUAAACUUACUAAAUUAGUGGCAUUUUCUUUAAAGAAAAUUUGGGCACACAAGCGACAAAAUUGGUAAUUUUCCCGCCUAAUUUUCAAGUGGCCAAAAUUUUGGCAGCAAUCUUCCCGCCUAAUUUUUUGGAGCAAUUUCAAACAAAAUUUUUCAAAAAUUUCCAUAAACAUUUGGGGAAAAUUUUAACUUAUCCUUCUACUUAAAGUUCCUCAAACCCCAUUCUCCCCAAAUUCUUUCUCAAACCCCUUUCUUUUCACCUCUUCACCUCUCCUCCGCCAUCGACAACCACAUAGACAAAACACCGCCAGCUUCGUCAAACACCCAAUCUUCCCUCGCCGCGCCAAGCACUCCCUCACUGUCGUCAAGAACGACCUCAUCCUCCUCGAUUGCUCCACAAAUCUUUGACGACUCUGUUCUCUGCCUCGCCAAGCAAUCUGGUCUUCGUCAACAUCGAUUUGGGUCCUCCUCUCCUCUACCUCAAGAAAUCUGGCAGCAAAGUAAGCUUCGGUUCCACCGUCUCCUCGUAUCUGGGUCGUCCUCUCAUCUCCCUCAUCGGAUCUAGGUCCUCAUCUCUCCCUUGGAUCACUCCGGAAUUUUUUUUUUAUCAUUGUCAGAGGAUUAGGGAGUACGAGGACGGCGAUGACGGUGAUUUUUUUGGUGGGGAGAGGUUAGAGGAGCGUGGUAGAGGUGGUGGCGCGUGGUGGUCUUUUGGAUGAGAAGAGGAGAAAAGUUAGAGAAAUUUUAAAUACACACCCUUAAUCUCUUAAUACACAUCCUUAUUAUUUUAUGUUUCUAUUGAGAUUUUAUAGGUAACCUAAAUGACCAAAACAUACACUUAUUAUUUUUUAAAAAAAAUCACGCUAGAAGUAUUCUUUCUAACGUCUUCUACCUUAAAAUCGUCGAAAACAUGUCUUCUCCCCUAACCCCAAUUCUUCUCCACAAUUCAUUUGGGUUGUUUUUUGUUGUUGUUGUUGUUGUAUCUAUAUCAGCUUUAGUUUGAUCUUACAGAUCAUAUUGUCAAGUACUGUAUCUUUAUCAGCUUUAGUUUAGUUUGAUCUUGGAGAUCAUAUUGUUAAAUACUGUAUUUUUAUCAUGAUAUAUUUUAUCGAAUAACUAGCUAUCUAUGUUU
This 59795-nucleotide long non-coding RNA is filed under the name Fragaria vesca (wild strawberry). RNAcentral's name for it is "long non-coding RNA (FVES_LNC003214)". The record is from RNAcentral. Lineage: Eukaryota; Viridiplantae; Streptophyta; Magnoliopsida; Rosales; Rosaceae.